GAAUUCGUAAUCUUCCGCUUCACAUCCACGGCCUUGGCCUUCACAUUCGCCUCCUGAAUCCCAUCGAGACACGUCUCGUCAUCCGUGAGGGCGGCGCUCAGCCACGUCUGGGCAUUGCUCAUCUGGAAUCGAAACGUCUCCUUCCGGAGGUGGUGCAGCUCGGCGAGCGUCUCGCUCAGCUCGUCCACCGACGUCGACAUCAGGUCCACGCAGUCGCCGAUCGCCGAGAGCUGCAGCUUCGUCCCCUUGAAGGAGGCGGAGAGCUGGGCGAGGAAGCCGGAGACGCGGAGUGAGCGGGCGAGGCUAACGUUCACAGCGGCCUGGGCGAGGUCGCGGGGGGUCUUGGCGGGGCCGGCGUAGUUGGAUAGAGUGCGGAGGCAGAUUUUGGGGUAAGUGGCGUGGCGACAUGAUGAACGGACGAUAUUUGAUGCUGGGUGGUGUUUCCCUGCGGCGGAGGCGGAGUACAGCGAGCAGAAGAGGAGGACGAGGAGAGGGAGAAGAGAGAGUAGGAAACGCAUCGAGGAGGUGAGUAGAGUGAAGAUUGAAGAGUGUGGAAUUAAUCUGUGGCAGUGUUAGUCUGGUCGCUGGGGGGUGAGAGGUUGGGUAUAUAUAGGGGGCGUCUGUAGUGAACCAGUGACAGUGGGAAAGUAAACGGGCAAAUCUCCGUUUUAGACUAGGAAUGUUUAACAUUAGGUUAGCCUUGCCUUCCAAUAUCUUUCUAUUCGUUUAGAUAUACUUUUAAAAUAAUUGAAAACGUUUUUAGUGAAAAUAUUUUUAGAUUCCAAAAGCAUUUUAAGUGAUUUCUGCAAUAAACACUAAUUAUGUGCUUCUUUCAAGAAACACUUUAAGUAAUUUUUCAGGAUUCACUUGUAUUUUUACUAAGGAUUGAUUCAAAAAAUAUUAUCACCAAAAAUACUUUCAGUUAUUUUAAAAGCACAUCCAAACUAGCCUUUAAUAGUUUAAUACAAAACAUAGAUCACGUUAAUGUUUUUAAACUAAACUGCUUUAACAGAAGAAAAUAUAAAAAGAAAACAAAGAAUAUUGACAUUCAUAUUUUGCUGUCCGAUCAAGGAAUGAUUAAAAUAACUUUUUAUAUAUAGCGUCAUUCAAUAAUUCACUCAGGACAUUCGAAGAUAUAUUUUUAUCGGUUCACAAUUUCCUUACUUUUGUAAUCUUCUUUCCAAUAUGAGGUUUGGUUUUUCUCGUUUUUCUUUGUAUUGAUUCCAUCUAGGUAUUAUUCUUCUCGAUCACAUCUUAUUGGUCACUUCAUUUGAUUUUGAAUCAUUAAAACCUGUAUUGCUAUUUCUUAUUUACAGAGGAUAAACAACCCAAAAUCCUAGCCAUGCUCUUCUUUUUUUUCAACGUACAUUCAUUAAUAAGAACAUCAUUCAUCAUGAAUACAAUUCAGUGAUUACAAAUGCAACAAAAAGACAAUACAAAUUUUACCCCAUAUAACCGUAAAUCUAACCAAACGGAAGGAUAACACUCAUAAAGACAAAAUCUUGCUUCACUUUCUUAAUAACUUGCAAAAGACGACGCUCAUUCGACAAAUAAGUCAUGCUACGAGACAUCACGGAGAUGUCUUCAUAGUCCUUUGCCAAAAAAAACAACAAACAACGAAACCACAACCAAAACAAAAUAAACUCUUCAAAGGUACGAUUCCUCAAUCAUGGGAUACCCGCACCUAACUAACAAGAAAGAUAAGCUCGCAAUGCCUAAACCCAAUGAGCCGGCUGGACCUAACACCAUCAAGACUCGCAAGGUAAACAUCCUACCAUCACCUGAAGAAUUUGCAACGACAAUAAAACAUGAUUGUGAAUCCCUCAAACCACUGCAACAACCCCUCAAACGAAAGACCACACCACCCUUUGAUGACAAGACUCGCAGGGUAAACAUCCAACCAUCACCUGAAGAAUUUGCAACGACAAUAAAACAUGAUUGUGAAUCCCUCAAACCACUGCAACAACCCCUCAAACGAAAGACCACACCACCCUUUGAUGAUCUUCAAAUAGUCAACAAUCUUACUAUGAGUCACCUCCAACAAACGUGAGCUUCUUCCCAUAAUCCUUGCCAAAAGCACAAACCACAAAAUCACCACUUCAAAUUUGAACAACAAAUAUCACUUUUAAAAUCUGAAGUUGAGUAAUAAGUUAUUACCGCAACAAAAACUCUCAUCCUCAACUAUAAAAACUCUCCGCGACAAAACAAGCAAAAAAUAUGACUUUUCUCUUGGCGUCCGAGUAUCACCUCCUCCCUUUUCCAUUAUGGUGCGUUUCCUUUCCCUAUCUCGGUUUACUUUGUAUUGAUACCGUCUCCUGUAUCAAGAGAAGAAUACAUUACUAUCUAGUUAUUAGUCUUCUCCAUCACUUCUUCAUCGUCACUUCAAUCACAUCUUAACCGUCACUAAAUCGUUGAAUUUUUUUUUUUUUUUUCAAAAACCUACCCACGAUUUCACUCUCUAAUAUUGUUCUUGAAUUUAAAGUUGAAGACAUUAUUUCAAGUUUCAACCACUUCCCGUAAUUCAACCAACCCAUGUCUACAUUGUCCACGUAGAGAUUUCCAUCACCAGACUAUGUACUAUUUUAGAAUGAUAAAUUAAAUGGCAGUAUUGCUAUUUUUGUAGUGCUCAAGUGUCUUUUCUUGUUUAUGGAAUAGUCCUUACCAACAAUGAAGAUCAAAGUAACACUCAAACCGACAUUGACAGCUAUAACGAGUGCUUUUAUAAGACGCACUUCUGUUUAUAUAAAUUCCUUAAACCCAAUUAAAUUGCAUUUUUUGUGUUUUCUUCAAUUAACUUUACAUUUUUAUUUCAAAUGUUAUAUGAUAAAUGGUUUUGAUUUUUUCAAAAAGCUUUUUUUUAAACAAAACGAUAGUAUUUACACUAAGAGAAAUGAUGUGGGCUUAGUCUCACAAUGAGCAGGCAAAAUGUGGUUCAAAUUCGCCUUUAGCGAAAAUCAAACCUAAAACCUCUCGCUUACAAGUAAAUAACGUUUUUAAUCUUUCUAAAAGCACUAACAAACAAAUAUUAGUUAUUUCAAACAUGUAAUAGGGAAUUUAAGCGCCCCGAUUUGUGGCUAUUUUGCCUAGUUUUGGGGACCAGUGAAGGAGAUCCAAAUAAAUGCCCUGGUAGAAUAGCUCACCUUUCAGCCCAUCACCAACCAACUAAAAUAUGCAAACGUGUAUGUAUUAACCAAUAACCAAAGUCCACGACCAUCAUGUACGGUGCAAGCGCACCCUCUUACUUUGCUCCUCUCUCUAAUGGCGUUGUGUCACCAAUUUGUUUUCAAGUUUGUAACCAAGUGGUAUUCAAUACGUGAGGGGAACAAACGAAGACGGAUAUCCUAUUUUUCGGGAACAUAUAUCAUCGGCGACGUCUCCAAACUAAUCAUAAAUAACUGAGAGUCGUCCACCAACACGUAAACAACAAGAUCUAGAAUGCAUGAUUUACUAAAACAUAUAUAUGUAUUGUACAGUAUGAACACAUAAGCUCUAGCUUGUACACUAGAAACAAUGCGUCGAUCAAUGAGAUUGAUUGGCAUGGUUUAACCCUGCAAGAAACGUUGGCGUAAAACUUUUGAUUUUAUUUUUUAUGUUGCAGUAUUCAUUAAUCAUGCUUAUCAUUUAAAGACGUCAACAUUUAUUUAUUGAAAUAAGUCUGAUGAGAGAACGUUAUCUGUUUAAAAUUGUUGGGACUUCACAACUAAUUAUUUGAUGUGUUAUAGAUUAAUGAGAUGUAUUAGAAUUCGAAAAGCUUCGUAUUUGCACGAAAGAAUGUGAUGGGGUGGUGGGAGUUUGAUGGGGAAACAUGGGACCCUUGAUUUUUCAGGAAUUAUUUGCUGAAUUCCGAUAAGAAACGAAACCUUGUGAGCCCAGCAGAGCAGCAUUCCCAAGAAUUGGACAUGUAAGUGGUGAAAGUUCUGAAACAAAGCAUGUGAAUUGCAGUCUGGAAUCCGCUAUAAAAAUUCCUACCCCACUCUUUAAAUUGCACGAUGUUUAUAUAUAUAAUAUGUCAAUAUCUUAGGAUUUGUUUGUAAAUGUUUUUAAAAUGAUUAAAAUCGUUUUUUGUGAAAUUAUUUUUGGAUUCCAAAACCACAUGAAAUUCUUCUUACAAAAAACAUAUAAUUGGUGUUUCUUGCAGAAAGCACUUCAAAUAUUUUUUCAAGAUUCACUUAUAUUUUUACUAAAAAUUGGUUCCAAAAACACUUUUAAAGAAAUUGCUUUCAUCAUUUUAAAAACAAUUUCAAACUAACAUUUAUUUAUUUGAUAAACACAUUAUGCGCUGUCAAUUUCUGUAGGAAAUUUCAUCAAACUUGUCUUCACAAGUUUUGGUAAACACAAACUAACUAAAACUCGUGGGGAUAAGAAGUAUAGAGAUGAAAUGUAGAGAACCUGUGGGAAAGAAAUUCUAUAUGUACUAAAACCCGUGGAGAAAUCAAUGUAGCUUAGUAACAGUGCAUUUCCAGUUUUACACCCGCUUAUUUCAACUUCGCCCCGUUUGCUUCCUUCUUCUAUGCUCCUCCCCCCUCGUGUAAUAUGCCAAACCUUCAUCUUCAACUCGACCUCCCCCUUCACAAACUCCCUCCGGUCCCUUUUCUCUAUAAAUUGUAAUCACCGCCACCACCAGUUCGCUCAAACUUUGUCUAUAAAGCCUCUUUAAAUGCACAAGAAUUGAGAUUUUUGUAUCAUCAACAACAAAGACAUGAAAGUUGUCGCAAGAAAGAAGAUUACCUGACAAAGAGGAGGUUUUCUUGGAUUCUCAUCGUCUCUUGGGCCACCACUUCCACCUUCAUUUCCAGGUGCCUUUUAGGACCUGAUGUUGAACAGAAAUGAUGCCAACCGAAAGCAUUGUAACUUUCCCAUUCAACGUUGCCACGUUGAAGGCAAUAACGACGAGAAAUUUUUGAAGUCAAGCAAGAAAUCAAUGGCUUCUCCCGCAUAAAAAGCAUUUUUCUCACUCUCUUUUACAGUGGAAGAAGCUAUUGAUUUCUUUCUUGGCUUCGACAGUAUCUUCAAAAAUUUCUCCGCCGUUGUUGCCUUCAACAUGGGGACGUUGAAUGGGAAAGUUCCAUUAUCGAGGGGUGUUUUCUGUUCAAUAUUAUGGGGUCCGCAAAAAUGCACCCUGAAAAUGAAGGUGUUGGUGGUGAUCCAAGAGACGAUGGAAAUCCAAGAAACCUCCUCUUUUUUAGGUUAUCUUUUUUCUUGCUAUUAUUUUCAUGUCUUUUGCUGUUGAUCAUGCAAAAAUCUCAUUUUUCACGACUAAAGCUUGUAAGCACAAGGCCAUAUUAGAUGACUUGUAUGUCUGAGACUCUGAAUUGCCGUUACUAAACUUGUGAUUGCAAGAGAGAAAAUUGUUUAUUGGGCCGGCAAUGCCGUGGAAAAAAACAAAACUUCAUGAAAAAAUAUAUUCUCCCAUCACACUAAUUAUGUUUCUGAAAUGAAUGUGUGAAACAACUGUGAUCUUUAGUCAAUGCAAUUCUUAUCUUUUAAGUUUCAAGAAUUUCUGUAAAGCUUAGUAUUUGUGAAAAUAAUUCAAGUGUUUUUUUUUUUUGUGCAAAAAAUUAUUUUUUAUUUAAUUUUUUUUAUUUGGUUUUCACCUGAUAAAAUCGUUUGACAGCACCAGGCUACCAGCUACAUGCCAGGAGGCCCAGUUCAAAAUCUGUGGCGUGUGAGUUGUUUGAUAAAAGGUAGAGUGAAGAUAGGACAAUACUUGCGUUUCACGAAACAGUUGAUCUAAUUAUUAAAUAUAUUGUCACUUAGUACUACAGUAUAAUAGUAUUUCUCUUCACUUGUAAGUAAGAUGUAUUAGGUUUGAUUCUCACCAAAAACAAAUUUGAACCUUUGGUGAAUUUGAACUAUAUUAUUGCUAGUCUCUUGUGAAGCUAACCUCACUCUUCUCUUCCUUAAUGUAGAUAAUAUUGUUUGUUGAAAAAAAAAAAAGGCUAUUGAGCAUAUUGUAUUCACAAAUUGGGAUUUCAUGCUCAAAUAUUUGGGUACCAGUAAUAGUCCAUCUAAAUGUCCUACAGUUCGAGGGAAACUUACAUAUGUAUAUCUUUUUUAAAAAGAGACUUGCAACGAUAAUUUGUAGGAAGAAUACUUUUUAGGGAACUUUAACGAAAAGCAUCUGGUACUGUUCAUUUUAACGAAAAACCACAUUUUUACACUAAAAAGUCAAUCCUGGUACUAUUCACUUUACUCUUUAUUUUGUCCUUAUCAUUAAAACUCAAAGUUUUCAAACCCUUUUCAUUAGUUUUCCUUACUUUCUAACGAGCGUUUGGAAAUAACUUAUAUACAACAUACGUAUAUCUUUUUAGAAGAGACUUGGCCACAAAAAUAUAUGGGAUUUUAGCUAAAAUAGCCUUAUUUGCAAAACACAAUUCCAAAGAAGUCCAUUUUGCAAAAUAGAAUCUGCAAUGGGCACUAACUAUUGGUUAAUUGCAUAUCAGCCCAAAUUUAUUAUUAUGAUAUCAUCAUUAUUCUGUCACACUGUUGUCAUUAGCUCCAAUUUGUCAUAAUAUUAAAAUAAAAUUCAAAAAAUGAUCUUUAUGUGGUUAUUCUUGUUGUAGGCCUAUUUGACUUAACUGUAUUUAAUACAGAGAGGGAGAAGGGUCGGCGACAACAGAGAUAGAAGAGUGAGAUGUAAUUUUGAGGUAUGUGUUGUAUCAUCCUAUUGUGUCUUUAUUUAUAGUAGUAGGGAAGAUUAAAUCAUUACCCUAUUAGGAUUACAACUCUAAUAGGAAUUUAACCACUAAAGAGAAUAUACAAAGAUACUCCUAGAUACACUAGGAUUUACAUAAUCACAUUCCUAAUCCAAUAGAACUGCAACACUCCCCCUUGAGAGUGUAAAUACUCAAACAAAGCAUCACAUCAGAUCUUAAGCAGAUAAGGUAGAACAGUUGAUGAAGUCGUCGGCACAACGGGUGAAUGGGAGUCUCAAAUUUAAAAGAAAGUAUGCAUGGGUAGUAAAACUCAUAAACACUUUGCUCUAGUAAAACCUAAGGCAGGUGAAAACCCAUAGACUAAGGAGAAAAGUGAGAAGUAUGCAUAAUGUCUUAAAACAAACGUCAAAUAGGAUGAAAAUAGUGAACUCAACGGAGUAUGAUCAUCACAGGAUGAGUGCCUCGUUUAAACCUCUUUAGGUAGCAAAACCCCAGUGGGAAAAAUGUUCCUAAUCAUAAGAAAAAUAGUAUAUUAAGAUCAAGUGAGUAUGCUUCAAGAUACUCCUCUUGAGUUAUACAUAACUUCCAAAUAAGAGAAAGUAAUUCAACUCAGAUAAUUUACGCAUACCGAUUCCUUGGACGAGCUUCUGAAAAGUAGACUUAAACAAUGACUUGGUGAAGAGAUCGGCCAAGUUGUCUUGGGAACGGAUUUGCUUGACUUCAAUGUUUUGAUGAUAUUGUUGCUGGUGAGAAUAAAAUAACUUCGGCGUUAUGUGUUUGGUGUUGUCUCCCUUAAUGUAACCAUUCUUUAACUGCUCGAUACAUGUUGCAUUGUCUUUAAACAUCAUCGUAGGAAGGUCAAUGACAGAAGUAAGACCACUAGUGCUUCGAAAAUGUUCCAUGACUGCUUUCAACCAAAAGCACUCAAACAAUGCUUCAUGCAAGGUGAGAAUCUUAGCAUGGUUCGAAAAAGUCGCAACUACCGUUUGCUUGAUAGACCUACAAGAUAUAGCGGUGUCUCCAAUGGUAAAUACAUAACCUGUUUGAGAAUGUGCCCUAUAUGGGUCAGACAGAGAACCAACAUCUGUGUAACCAACGAGGUGAGAAUAAACUCAAGUGACAGAGGGGGGCGGUGGCUUCUCUCAAGGAUUCAUGGGUGUAGAACAAGCCCAAAUCAAUCAUACCCUUAAGGUAGCGAAACAUAUCUUUAACACCAUUCCAGUGUCUGCGUGUAGGCGUAUUGCUGUAUCUAGCCAAAAGAUUAAUGGUGAGAUAUAGGUCUAGUGCAUUGAGCCAAGUACAAUAAAGCACCAAUUGCACUUAGGUAUGGAACUUUAGGCUCCAAAAUCUCUUCUUCAUCCUCCUUUGGACUGAAGGGAUCUCAUUUAGCAUCUAGAGUCCGAACGACCAUAUGAGUACUCGAAAGCUUCGCUUUAUCCUCAUUAAAACGUCGCAACACCUUUUGGGUGUAGUUCGAUUAAUGUACUAAGAUUUCAUUCGAACAAUGCUCGAUCUCUAGGCCGUUUUCCCAAGAUCUUUCAUCUCAAAUUCCAAUUUCAAGUGAACGACGAUUUCCUCAAGCUCUGCGGGAGUUCCAAUGAAGUUCAUGUCGUCGACAUAAACUACAACGAUUGCAAAUCUAGAAUGUGACUUCUUUAUGAACACACAUGGGCAUAAUUCAUUGUUCACAUAACCCUAACUUGUCAAAUAUUCACUUAGAUAGUUAUACCAUAUCCACUUAAAUUGUUUCAAUCCGUAGAGUGAUCUCUUCAAUCUAAUCGAGAAAGUGUUCCGUGGUCUAAAACUAUUUGAACCAGUCAAUGGAAGUCCUCCUAUAACUUUUAUGUACAUUUUUGUAUCUAGAUCCCCAUAGAGAUACGCAGUUACCACGUCCAUAAGCUGCAUAUUCAGUUUUUCAAAAACUACCAAACUAAUAAGAUUGCAAAACGUUAUGAUGUCUAUUACAGGGGAAUACGUCUCCUCGCAAUCGAUCCCAGGGUGCUGAGAGAAGCCUUGCGCUACGAGGCGUGCUUUGUAUCACAUUAUUUCAUUUUUUCUCAUUACGCUUGCUCACGAAAACCUACUUGUAGCUCACGGGCUUCACAUGUGGGGGAGUAGGAGCUACAGGCCCAAACACCUUACAUUUCGCAAGCGAAUUAAGUUCGACCUGGAUUAAUUAUUUCCAGUUUGACCAAUUUGUUCUAUGUCGACAUUCAUCAACGGAACGUGGUUCAAUGUCAUCGCUAAGCAUGAUGUCGGAAGUAACGGUAUAUGCGAAUACAUCAUCGACAAUCAUCUCAUUCUGAUUCCAAACCUCAUCCAAUACUGCGUAAUGGACCGAAAUCUCAUGAUUCUUGGGAGGCCGGUAUGUUUCAUCUAAGACAUCGCCGUAAUCUAAAAUAACCACAUGCGUUGGAACAGAUGAGUAAACAAUGGUUGGAUUCAUACUAUGGUCACUAGUUUGUGCCAUUUUCCUCUUCUGAGGUUGUGAAUCAUUUGAACUAGGGGGGCCUAUCACGCUUCAGGGUAGAAAUAGGUGAUUGGUUAGCUGCCAGUGUACCGAGCCACGUGGGAGGUGCGGCCACCCCACCCUCGGGGACAGUCCGGUUCCAAGGCAGUGUUACGGUGUACGUUAAGUACGUCCAUCUUUGCAAGUGUGUUUGCAAUUGGUAUAUGUGAUCUCAUCACCUUUGCUAGAUCAGUAAAAGCAUCUGGCAUACUUUAAGUGAUGCUCUGAAGAUCUAUAAUACAUCGCACUUCAAUUUCAGACUGAGGGGUAUGGGGAUCUAAAUGAGACAUAGUGGAAGUAAUCCACGAUAAUUCGUGGCGUUCUACAUGAACGUUAAUGAUCUUAUCUCCCCCCAAUGACGGUAAGAUUGUCUCAUCAAAGUGACAAUCCGCAAAACGUGCUAUAAAGAGAUCUUGUAUCAAUGGCUCUAAGUAGCGAGUAAUUGAUGUCAAAUCAUAACCAACACAGUCUCCUAUUUUUCUCUAAGGACUCAUUUUAGUACUUAGUGGAGGCACUAUUGGCACAUAAACGGUGCGCGCAAACACACGUAAAUGCAAGAUGUCAUGCUCGUAUCCAGUAACCAACUAUAACGGUGAAUAAGGUUGGGUAGCGGUGGGCCUCAGGUGGACCAACAUAGCUGCGUGCAAUAUUGCAUAGCCCCAGCAUAUAUUAACAAAGUUUUUCGCAUAACCAAAGUCUGAGCUAUCGUUUGAAGGCACUUUAUGAAAGCUUCUGCAGGUCGUUUUGGGUGUGAACAUGGGGUACAUGAUGUUCAACUUCAUUCCCAACAGACAUGCAAUAAUCGUCAAAAGUCUGUGAUGUAAACUCUCAAACAUUAUCCAGUCGAAUCGACUGGAUCGGAUAAUCAAGGUGGUGAGCCCUAAGCUUAAUAAUUUGUGCUAAGAGUUUCGCAAAUGCAGCAUUGCGUGUGGACAAUAAGUAGACAUGUGACCAUCGCGUCCAUACAUCAACCAACACCAUGAAGUAUCUAAAUGGUUCGCAUGUUAGUUGGAUAGGUCCAUAAAUAUCCCCUUGAAUCCGCUGAAUAAACUUAGGGGGGUCGUGAAUAAUCUUUGUAAGUGAGGGUUGAAUGUUCAACUUCCCCAAGGAGCAUGCUUUGCAAAGCAGAUGGCCGGGAUAAGAUUUUAAGUAACACCCAUGUGAUACUUUGAGGAUACGACGCAUCAUAUCGCGUUCGGGGUGUCCCAUUCGACCACGCCAAAGCAGGAGAGUGUUUUGGAACUUGGCCAUAAGGGCGGCCAAGUGAUGAGUCUCAAUGGCGCAAAUGGUUGUUAUGUACAACCCACUCGGGAGACGUUCCAGCUUCUUGUGAAUACUCUUCUGGCCAUAUUUGUAAGAAGUGAUACUAAGAAAUUCGGAACCAUUCUCUUAUGUGGUUUCAACAUGAUAUUGAUUAUCUCGAAUAUCUCUAAAACUCAGCAGCGUUCUUCUGGAACGUGGAGAAUAUAGUGCCUUUUUAAUGGUUAAUUCAGUAUAAUUGGACAACAUAAUAUUGGCCUUUCUGUAUCCUUCUAUUAGGUUGGAUAGGCCUGAGAGGUGUCAUAUGUGCAUUUUUAGGUACGAAGUUAGUAAAAUAGUGUUUAUCAUGUAAUAUGGUGUGUGUGGUGGCACUAUCAGCCAAAAUUAACUUUCCCACUAGUUAUGCCUAAUCGAAUCGAUCAUAUGCAUAAUUCCAUUCAUUCAAUUAAUCAAUUUGAGAAAUAAUAUCCAUAAAGUAAUUAUCCAUAAUUCAAAACAAACCAAAACCAAACAAAUAAUUCCAAAGACUUAGAAAUUGUCCGAAAAUUAAACCAUAAACCUAAAAUUUAAGGGGGGGUUCGACCAUUCUAGUGGGUUCGGCCACUAGGGGUGUAAAACGCCCUAACAUGUCUUAGAAAAAUAAAACUUUAUUCUUUUAUGAGAGUGGAUGCCUCCUGAAAAUCUAAAAUCUUUAGAGUUGUAGUAAUAUCUUCGGCAUGUUCUAGAAGUGCAAAGUUAGACUCACGACGGGAAUGAUACUUGGCAACAGCCUCGGGGGUAGCUCGGCAUACGUGUGACCAAUAAUCCUUUGAUCCAUAGCGAUAACACAUGUCUAGUUCAGUGGAAGCUGAUUGAAUGGUAGCUUUGCCCCUUGUUCUUGAAGUUUAGGACCUUAAGGGCAAGGGGUUGGCGUUUCUGGGUUAAAUUUUCUCCCAUGGGUGGGCUUCUGUUUUGUUGACCUUGGGCCUGUGGUGGGGCUUGCCGUCCAUUUCCACGGCCAUGACCGGAUUUCCAUCGAUUGUGGUUGCUAGAAUGAGUCGCAUGCACUUCAAGUGGAUCGUUCGACCUAAUGGGUUGAGCUUGAUGAUUCUUCAUCAAAAGUUGGUUUUGCUUUUCAGCGAGAAGUAAAACAGAUAUCAAAUCCAAAAAUUUGGUGAACUUAUGUGCUCUAUAUUGUUGCUACAGGACAAUAUUGGUGGCAUUGAAGGUCGAAUAAGUCUUAUCUAGGAGAUCUUGCUUGGUUAAGUCUUCUUUAUAGAACUUAAGCAUUGAUCGGAUUCUACAAACUUCAGAGUUAUAUUCAUUCACAUACUUAAAGUCUUGAAGCGUAAAUGCUGCCAGUCAUGUCUUGCUUCAGGUAAGUAAAUGUCUUUCUAGUGGUCGAAGCGAUCGACUAAAACAAGAGGGUACGUGGAUACUCUUCUGCGAGGUACUUGGUCUACAGUGCAUCAUAGAUGUGUCUGCGGAUGAAGAUCAUAGCAAUAGCUUUCUGAGUUUCGUAGACAGGUUCAUCGUCGGUAGGUUCCUCGAUGGUAGCUCUAAGACUCUUUGCAAUAAGAUGGAGUUUCACGUCUUGAAUCCACUUCAGAUAGUUUAUUCCAGCGACUUCCAGAGCGGUGAAAUCGAGCCUGUUUAAGUUCAAUAUGUCCCUAAAACAUAUGGUAUAAUGAAAUGUGGUUAGUCAUAUGGAAAGCCAUAGACAUAUAUUGUAGAACAUUCGGGUUCUAUAGACAUGUAUUGGUUUAAUUUAAGCAUGAAAGCUACGGGUUUCAUGUGGUAAGUUUAGAAUGAAAAUUUCGGGUUUCAAAGACACAAAAUUUGAAACUACAGGUUCGAUUUAGUUAUGAACGUUUAGUUCAUAUAUAGGGGUACUUGUAAGAACACAUAAUACAAUAUACAAUAAAAUGUGGUGAAUUUGUGGAUUGCUUCAGGAACCCAAGUGUGAGUGCUUCGGGACUAUGAAAGAUAGUCAAUGAUUCAAAGAAACAAAAUAAUUUAUUGAAUCGUUAAUUGCCAAAAAGUGAACUUCAAGCCAAUAAUUUUGGAUUAAUUGUCAGAUUAAUGGACUGCUGGUCACUUUAAUUAAUUCAAUAGAUCGUAACCAUUCAUGUUUGAUUGUAGAAGCAAAAAUAAUAAUAACAUUUAAGUUAAAAUUAUAGAGAAUGCCAAAAAUAACAUUGGAUUCGAAAAACCAUAGCCCAAUAUCGGUGGGCUUGGGUGUCGUGUGCAUGGCAAAGCCUUAAAAGGGCUUAAUGGGCCACGAGUGUCACAUCCCGGCCCGGGGUCCAUUACAUCCCGGGCUCGCUCCACCACCGUAGCACGAUAUUGUCCGCUUUGGGCCCCGACCACGCCAUCAGGUUUUGUUUCUAGGAGCUCACGAGCAACUUCACCAAUCCUUUCAGUGAUCUCAUAAGGUCCUAAAAACCAAGUAGUGGUCUCAACCCAUCUAUUAGCAAGAAGAUUCCCUUGACUAGCCAGGUUUCGAUCCUGGGACCUGUGGGUUAUGUGCCCACCACGCUUCCGCUACGCCACUCUGAUACCAAACUGACACACCCCGAUCCUAGAAUCAAGGCGUGCUGGCCGUCACAUGAGUGUAACGUAACCAAAAGUGUGACGUGACGUAGAAGCAAUAGGUAAGAGAAUUACGAAGAAAUAAAAACCAAAUACUAGCAGUAAUAUCCAACUAGCAUGCUAGAGUGAAUUUAAGUGUGAAACACACAUAUUCAGAGCGUAAGUACUAGGUGCAGUCAAGUAAGACCAUAACUAAAUUAUAACACCCGAAGGUGAGUCCUACAUUUAUGUAGUCUGUCAGUACGCCGUGGAAAUCCUCGUGGGCCACCAACGCUGCUAACUAGAACCUGGAGGGGCGCAAAACAAAAUUGAGUAGGUCAGUAAAACAAAGUUUUUUGAAAACAUUUCAAUUAAUAACAUUUCUAACCCCUCGCUGUAAAACCUGUAUACUUUCCCAGAAAAUAACAUAAUAUACAUAUAAAUCUUUAUAUAUAUCUCAAAUCACCAAUCUAUAUCAAAAACCAAAAAGUAUGCCAUGUUAAACGUCAAUAACAGAAUAAGGAUGCAUCAAUAUAACAGGUGAAGUAAUGAAUCAACCGGAAACCCUGCAGUUGGUCAUGUACGGUUAAUUCUAAAGCUCAAUAUCCCAUCCAACCGGAGUCACCGCAGUGACCUGUACGGCGCUACUCUGCACAUAAAUCGGAACUACCUGAAGUAGUCUGUACGAUAAGAAGGUGUAAGAAUACGCUCUAGUGCUUCUCUCAUCAACAGCUGUAUAAUAAUCUAAAAUCACCUACAGUCGGAACCACUCUAUGGUCUGUACGACAUGUCAGAACCCUCUAAUGGUCUGUACGACAUGCACUUACUUGGAUCCAAGGUGAGCGUGCGGUGCGAGGUGAAUAAUAUAAGCACUAACACCAAGGGUGCAGGUUAUGAGCUUUCAACACAAUUCACAUCAUCAAUAAAUCAUAUGAACAAUAUAAACUCACCUGAUACUCACCUGUGACGGCCAGCACGCCUUGAUUCUAGGAUCGGGGUGUGUCAACGAGUUAUUGCGGGACAGCCCAAUCAUGGUUGCAGGCCAUGUGCCGUUUCUAGGUAAGCCCAACCGCAAAGGUUGGCUUGUUGUGGUCUCAGGCUAAAGUGCUAGCAAGCCUCGCAUUCGCUGGCUUGGGUUGAGGCGCUAAAAAGCCCAACCGAAGCUGACUUGGUGGUUAGGCCUUGACAUGGUGAGCCCUACAGCCAAGAAAGUUGCUGCUUUCGGGCCGGGGCAAAGGGACGAGCGUAGCAAGCUUCAAGCAUGCUAGUGAUGGGCCUAGGGCUCAUGGACAAACCCAGUAGAGCUUCGGGCUGUGCUGAAGUGGGCUAGGGCUGCAGGCCUAACUUAGAAACCCAAGCAUGCAUUCGGCUUGGCUCUCCAAUGCGUGCAACAAAGCCUAAAAGGCUGCUACAAAGGUCCAUGACGUCAAACGACGUCGUCGCAAGGCGGUGGCGUGGCUGCAAGUCAACCAACUCAGCUCGAUGCCCGCGGCAGCAUGGCAUGAAGCCAUGGCUCGACCGCAAAAAAAUCCCAAAUUUUUUUUUUCAAUUGCUAGGGUUAAAGACCCUAAUUGCUUCUAAAAUAAUUUCGAUACUUUGACUCACAAAUUCCACAUAGCAUAAUUACGUAUUGCAUGAACAAGUAUAUAUAUUGACAAAAUAUAUGAACACAUAUACAAUAUAUAUAAUUGUAAAUAAAAUAUAAAUAUAUAGGGUCCAUGCAUCAUGAGAAAUGUUUUCAUGCUUCAAGGUUUUUUCAAAUGUCUUAAUUUAUUUUAAAAGAACCUGAUUGGCAAAAAAUGUAGAAGAAACCCUCAUCCACGAUCCUUCAGUUCCUUAGAUUCUGGCAAGAGCGUGUCGAUAACGUUUUGUAAGCCUAUUUGAUUGAACUGUAUUUAGGAGAGAGAGGGAAAAGGGCUGGCGGCAACAGAGAGAAAGAGAAGAGAGAGAUGUAAUUCUGACGUAUGUAUUGUAUCACCCAUUGUGCUUUUAUUUAUAGUAAUAAGAAAGGUUAAAUCCUUACCCUAUUAGGAUUACAACUCUAAUAGGAAUUUAACUACUAAAGAGAAUGUACAAAGAUACUACUAUAUACACUAGGAUUUACACAAUCACAUUCAUAAUUCAAUAGCACUACAACAAUUAUAUCAUCAUUAUCUCAUUCUUAAGGCUUCAAAUAGAUCAUUAAUUUGUCAUUUUAUCGUCAUUAACUCCAACUUGUCAUGAUAUUCCAAAAUUUCUAAAAUUCACCCACAUUCCACAACCUCCUCCCACAACUUUUCAAGUUGGUGUGGGGCUUUAAAAUAGCAGAAGUUGAGCUUGGAUUCAAUCAUUCAAGGCCACCAUCCGCAAACCUCCUUCUCUUUGUAGAAAUCGAAUUGAUCCGAUCGAUUGAUUCAUCACUCUUCUCUAUCUCGGAUCCAGUCCUUCCGAGCAUCACCAUUUUGAUGGGUUGAGAUGAUGGGAAUGAAGAUGAGGUGUAGAGGUAACGGAGGAGGAGUCUCCGGAGUUACAGAGGCGAUAAAUGCCGCAUUUAAAGAGAGAAACAGAGAGAAAGGUGUUUUUUGUUUUUUUAAUUUCUGGAAUGAGGAAUGAAAUGGGUUAAUGUGCAAUUAAUCGAUAGUUAGUGGCCACUGCAGAUUAUGUUUUACAAAAUAAACUUUUUUAGAAUUGUGUUUUGUAAAGGAAAUUUUAUUUGAACUCAAAUAGCUUCUUUUUAUAUCUAGUUUACUCUUUACACUUAUAUUAUUUUUAAUUAAAUUAACAGUAUAUAUUUGAACUUAAAUUUACUACCUAAAUUAAUUUCACAACCCCAAUUUAAUAUGUAAAUUUAUCUCUACACCAAUUGAAAAAUUAAAAACCAAAAUCAAAGCAUUCUUUCCUCUGACGCUCUCUCUUAUCAACAGUUGCUUUUGAUGGAGUCUCCAUUAACCUCUACAGUGUUGCUCUCGAUAAAUCUCAUAUUGAUUUGUCUAACCAUGUCAAACAAGCCGUUCCUUCUAAACUACCCUCUUGCAUUUAUUUAUUUUGGCUUCUCCAGCACACUCGCUGGUGUGCAUGUAUUUGAACCUAGAAGCAGGCAAAGGAAGAUGGAAGAAAAGCUAGUUGAGAGCAACUCCAUUUGCUGAUAAAAUUUCUUGUUUAUUUGUACCUAGUGCUGUCAUUUUUGGUGUAAAAGAAAGAAGCAUGAACAUAAACAUAAAAAUUGUAUUACUAAUAAAUUUUUUAAUAACAUGAUUUGCAAUGAGUGUUCAUUUUUUGUUGGGGUUUAAUUACCGGGUGUGAGUUUUUAUUGAUAGAUUUUAUUUUUAUUGUUAAUUUUAUGUUAUAUCUGAUGGUAAUUAUACAAUAGGGUAAUUAUGCAAAGCAUGCUUUCCUAUGUACCUUUGUUGCAGACAAGUUCUCGUGUCCGCGGUCAUUAAGAAUGACGCUUCCCAACGUAACAUAUGGCUGCAAUUGGCUGUGGUUUUGGUGGGAAACACAAAACAACCAUAGCAACUGGACACCUCCUGCCUGGAACCCACCAUGCAAAUAAUCGACACAGAACAGACAUUUGCUCCCCCAAAACAAGAAGAUAAUCUUGCUUGCAACCGAAUAUAUACAUCGCUUUAACAUAAGAGGCAAUGUAUUUCAUUGACACGCCAUUUUCUCUCCACAUGGUAGGCAAGUUGAGACCAUGAUUGCUUACUGUAACAUUCAUUACGUGAUUUACAACAAGCACAUAUGGGCAAAAAUAUGUAGACGCAGGCCUUUAGCCUAUCGAAUUUUUCCGCAUUUUUUCUAUUUAUCCUUAUAGUUUAUCCUAAAUCUCUUUUAUGCACCGAUCGAUCUUACUCGUAAGUAAAAACUUGCAUCAUCCUAUCCCAAUCUACAUUGAAAAGUUGGUUACAUGGUUGCAAUCAGUAUUGUCUAUCAUUCGUAACACAUCCAUAAUAUAACAACUACCCCCACAUUAGUCUUAAUAAUUAAUUAAUUAGAUGCUAUCUUCUCUUACAAUUCAUUGGGAUCGUUGAUAAGGGCUGAAACUUGACACGGAUAAAGCCAACUUUCUUGUGGUUGAGAAUCGAAGGUUGUUAAUGUAAGACAUAUUCUGAAAUCACAACAAGAAGAUAUUAGGAUCACGAAUAAAUCAAAUCAAUAUGAAAUAGAGAUUGACUAAUUAUAUUGAACUUAUCUGUAGAAUUCGGAAGACAUGGUUAUGAAGAUGAAGUCAUUGAUGAACUCUAGGUUGUCUUUUCCUUCCAAUACUUCAAUAAUAUCUCUCUGCUAUAUGAAUAAGGUUUAGCGUAUCUGAGAGAUUAAGCGUAUGGAAGUAGGGACUUAACAAUAGUAUUUAUAUUAUUAGGGUUUAAUCACAACCAGCUUAUUGGUUGUGAAAGUCAAACCCUAUCACUUAAGUGUUUAAGUCCCAUCAUGAUACUAUUGUAGACAUCGAAAUUUCGGUAAAUAAAUGUUGACCGAUAAAUUAAAGUUUCAACGCUCAUGUAUUACAUAAAUUUUACACGUAGCGUGUGACUCAACGAAAAUUGAAAUGAGUUGGAAAAGUCAUCAAAUAGGACACGUGUCAACACCUGGCAGAAACGACUUAUUUCAUCUGGGAUAUUAUAUUCAAAAUUAGGCCUUGGAAAAUUCUAUAAAUACAAGCCAAUUUCAUUCAUUUGGAGGAAACCAAUUCAUAUUACACCUUGAAGCUCUGAAACUCCGAAGCUCUCAAGCAUCCAGGUUCCCGAAGAAUCAAGAAAGCCUUCUUCGUUCUUCGUUCAUCGUUCUUCCAAGAUCAAGCCCCGACGGCUCUUGAAGAAAGUGUUCUUCGUUCAUCGUUCAUCCAAGAUCAAGCCCCAACGGCCCUUUGGAUCAACGAACGUCGACAAAUCCAUACAUCCAACCGUUCUUCAAGAUCAAGCCCAAAAGCCCUUGAAGACCCGUUCAUCACUGUUCUUCAAGAUCAAGCCCAAAAGCCCUUGGAGAUCCGUUCAUCACUGUUCUUCAAAGAUCAAGCCCAAAAGCCCCUUUGAAGAUCCGCUCAAAGCCACCUUCAAGAUCAAGUCCACGGCCCUUGAAGAACGUUCAUCCUUAGAUCAAGCCCAACGGCCCUUUGGAUCAAUCACACAUCCACAAAUACACACCUUACGGAGAUCGAAUCAGAGGAUCAAAAUAGAGAGAGAUUGUAACCCAAAAUCAUCAAAUACAAAUAUUUGUUUGUGCACGUUGUUCUUGUCUCUUUCGUUUCAGGAAUUUUCUGUGUUCACAACUAUAUCUUUGUAGUGAAAUCCAUCAAAUUUCUUUAGGUCAAUUGCAAAGGAUAAGACUCCAUAAUCCUUAUUUCAUGAGGACUAUCAAAUUACUUAAGUUGUUAACAACUCAAUAAACAAGUGGCCUACAAUAAGUAAUCCAAUACAUCAUUCAUUGUCAUUCUGUUUGGACCCAUUUUUACAAUAGCGGUCCGAGCAAUCAAGGCCGUCGGAUGAGCAAGGUUUUAAGCCAUUGAACGACAAAGUGGUUGAAAUAAAUUAUGAUUAAGAUAAUGUUGGGAUUUUAAUCAUAAUUUAUUAAACCUAGUUUUUAUCUAAAACCCCAAUUUGUUCGUAGGAUGGUGGGGCAUCAGGCCAUUUUAUAAAGAAUCAUAAUGCAUUACUGCAUUAUUGGUGAAUGUUUAUGGAUUGGUAUAGAUUUUUGCGCAUGCAUGAAGAUAAGGAUGCCAAUUUGGAUUUAAUCAGCCGCAUGCUUGGCGUUGGUCAGUCGUACAUGCAUAUUAUUGGCAUAUUUCAAGACGGGAAGUUUAUCGGCAGAAAGGGAUAUGAUCCUUGGCUAAGGGAUAUGAGAUAUAAUUUACAACCAGAUGCAACUCCACAAGAUAGAAUCCAAUUAGGACUCUCCAAGAGUAUCAAGUUGUGCCAAGCGGAGGGGUGUAACAUUCACUAUAAGUAGAGAGGGUUGCGCACCAUUCAAAGGCCUGACAAUUCAACACAAAACUGCCCGCAAGCUUUCUCAACAACUUUGAGAUUUUUUCUUUUCCUUUCUCGCUGACACAUCUUCCGUUGGCAUCAACAGCACUGUGAAAGCAACCGGUGAUAUCUUAAGUCGUCAUAGAUAGCUCUGUCAUCGUAGAAUCAGUCGGUCUCGCAGUAUCUUCCGUUGGCAUCAACAGCACUGCGGCGAGGACGGUUGGUUACCUAUCCAAGUCUCAGUCGAGAAGGAUUUCCGGAUCCUGAUUGAUUGAGGUCAUCUUAUUAGCCUCCUCGGCGAAGUGAGGUGUUACAGUAUAUCGAGCUUGGCACAUUGCACGCCGAGUUAUUUUAUGAUUGGAUAUUCCCAAGUGGGAUUUAGAGUUCGGCAUUCGAACGGUCGAACCACGUUCACCAUUAAAACUUAUAUUCGCUUUGAGUAUUUGUGCCCUUACACUUUGGUGUCGAUUUGGCGUGAGUUUACUCUGACGAAUAACAUCACUGUGACUGAAUCCGACGACGACUCGUGAACUUCGUAAGAAUAGUAACCUUGUCUUCAGGUUCGAGCACCCAAGAGGCCGAGACGCGUUCCUUCCUCGGUCGCAAUCGCAAGACGCAGGAGUCAGCCGCGCACCCAACGCAACAUCAACAAAUUUAGUCCUCGGCCGAGCUCGGCCGACGAGUUGGCACGCCCGUAUUCACCGAAGGACGUAGUUAGCUUAUAGAUUAUUCGGCAUGCGCGCCACGUAGGCUUGGUAGUUUCUAGGGUCAACACAUUCACAACCUUACAUUCUCCCACUUGAAUGUCAAUGAUUUAUCCUAACAAAUAAGAACUCAUGGUGAUCACUGAGUCUUCAUAAGUGUGCAACAACAUUUCCUAGCAACCUGUCACUUUGAAUCGAAUGCAAAACCAAAGAAAACAAAGAACAACUUGGUAUGUUCCUUGCACUCCAAGAUCACAUACACAUUCAACUUAAAGCACUGUGUUGCUAACAAAGUCAUGGUGUCAAGAGCUAAUAGUCAAAACAUUAGCUCACAAUAGUCGAACUGAAAAUAUGAAAAUAUAUUUCAGUACAAAAAUAGUUCACAAAAGAACUCAACAAUGUUGGUAACAACAUCCAACUUUUCUGUCAAUUUAGAAUAUGAUAAGAGAACAAGUAAAAUACAACAUACUAUUUACAAAAUCAGGAUCUCUUAUUAAAACUUAUGAACAAAACUUAAACAAAAACUCUUAAAAUAUCAGCCUCUAACGCUUCAAAAUUUUAACACAAAAGAUAAUCUCUUACUCCCACUGAUUAAAAAAGACAAAAUUAUAUAAAUUAUUAUUACUCCCAUUGAUUAAGAGAGUAAAAAAUUCUUUGUAAAGGUCUACAGAAUGAAACAGAUACCUUUCAAAUACCCCCAUUAGCAAAACAUUAGUCAUGGGAUCUAAAACAUAAAAUUUAAAAGAGCUCAACAUCUUUAUUCUAGAUAUCUGUAGGGAAGUGAUUCUUGUGACUGAAAAACUAUACAAAAUCAUUUGGUCAGUUUUGUUCAUCUAACAUUUGACAAAAAUAGAAAACUUUAACUAAAUAUUUUCUUACUGCAUCAAAAACAUAUAAUUCUAGAAUCACCUUUAGACAUAAACUAAUUAUAUUAGGUUUGCAUAGCUAAAACAUAAAAUACAAGGGCAAACGUAUAGCUUCAACACUUUUGAGCUGAUGAAGUAUAUGCAAUCUUGUCAAUUUCAUGUUUCACUAUGCAUUGAUUUAUAGUUGUAUUGAAUAAGAAAACACUUUUGAGCAGAUUAAUUAUUCAUCAAUAACAUAUAAAUCACAAGUCCAAUUUCUUGAACAACAAACAAGAAUUAAUAAACAAAACACUUUUGAGCAGAAUAUACUCAUUGACCAUUAAAAGCAUUAUUAUAACCAAAACUUGAUGAUGUGAGAAGCCCAUAAUAUAUUAUUUCUCCCACUUGGGCAAACACUCAAAAUUGCAAGAUUAAACACUAGAGAAAGUGGUUUUCAUAUAACAAAAUAUAGGCUAGUUGAAUCAAUAAAGAUAGUGUACACAAUCCAUUAUAUAAUAUAACAUGGCAAAUUUGUACAAAGUUUGGAGUUAGAAAAAUCUAUCAAAAUUGUAAUCAAAUAGGACAUGUUGCAAGGUAUGCAAAACUCCAUCAGUAUUUCCCAAGCUCCACUAAAAUUUUAGAUUUAAUCAUAAUUUAAAUAAAACCAAUUUACAAUCUUUAAUAUGCUCAAAACACGAAAAUUUCUUAAAUAAAUUUGCUGAGUCACAAAAUAGUGAUUUGGACAUAAUAAACCAAUCUAUAUGUAUCAAAAUUAGGAUUAUAUAAGGAACAAUAUCUCAACAUCAUUAAUCGAUAAAAGUGACAAGUGAUUAGAUAAACCAAUGGCUACAAAAUUUAUUUUAGUGUAUGAGAGAAAACACAUAUGUGUUAAAGAUUAUGUCAUAAAUUAAAAUGAAACCUAAUAAGGGAAUCCAAACUUAAAAUCUAUGUUUUAAUUCUAAAACAAAGUCGAUUAAAGUAAACGCAUAGAUAUAUCAACAACAUCAAAUUUUCAACAAUAAUUUUAAUCCAAUUUAGAACUCACAGAAAAUUAAGGAAAAAGAUUGGCAAAUUUACCUACUUAUUCUCGAUUCUGAAAGAUUCAUCAUGGAAGUAGUCGAUGUCACAGCCCGUCCCGGAAUUUUAAUUCCGAGGACAUGAAAAGACGAAAAUGCCCUUAAACGGGACUAAGGGGCGAAAAUUUAACAAUUUGGAUUGAGUUGGACACGUGGGAUCCCCACACCCCUCAAUCCUCUCCCUAUUUUCUGCAUACUGUCUCUCUCUCUCCUCCCUCACGAAUCUCUCUCUCUCUGUCACUCUUCUUCUCCGUUCGAACAAACCAACCACAAAACAACCUUAAACUUCCACCAACGACGGAGUUAAGACCACCAUCGAACUCCUGGAGGCUCCACGAUCACGUAGACACCAAUUUCAGGUAAGUUUUACUUCGGAAAACCUAGAUUCUAAACUCCCCGUGAAAGUGCACUGUUCAUGAUCUUCGAAUUGACUUUGUUUUAGGACAAUCCAAGCUCACAGUGAGCUUAGUGAGGUUCCAAGGAAGCUCGGAGUGCUUCGUUGGAAGUUUUUGGACGUAAGAACACGGAGAUCGAUAAGUUCAAAGUUUGGCCGGAGCUUUCGAGGCAUGUUCCGGCGAAUCCCCGGCGAGUUAGGCGUCGAGGUAGGUAUCAAUCUCUUCGUCUCGUCAAGUACUACAACUUUCCUUUUUGUUUCACUCAAUUUCGUUGAGUAUUGAAGAAGUUAUACUCAUUUGAAAAAUACCCAGUUUCCGGCGACCUCCGAGGCUUUCGAGGCAGUUUCCGGCCAAACUACGGCGAACUAGGUGUUGGGAAAGGUACCAUUCUCUUUGUCUCUUCAAGGGCUACAACUUUCGUUUUUGAAUCACUUGAUUUCGUUAAGAAAUGACAAAGUUUAUGGCAAUUUGAAAAAACCGCCCAGAAAAACGGCCGCCGGAAAAACCAGUCCGGCGACCCAAGGAAGAAGAAGGUGCUACAGUAAAAAUAAAAAAUAAAAAUAAAAUUAUUUUUAAAAAUAUGUCGACGUCCGUGACGUCGAGUAGAUCACUGUGGUAUAUUCAUAUACCUAAAUUGAACACCGUAUGAGAAAAGUUAUUGAAGAUUGUUGGUUAGGUGUUCAAAUAACGUUUUAUAGUUUUCACAUUUAGGUGAAAAUGUGAAUUGAUGAUCCGACCGUUGGAUCGUCACCAAACUUUGAUACGUUGUAAUACGUAAUAUUUGAGGAUUAUUGGAACUUACGGAUUGGGAAUCCGAGAUACGGAUCUUCCGGAAUUGGAAUUGUAAGUCCAUAAUAUAAAAUGUUAACCGUCACUUAGUUUUGGAAAUUGACGGAGAUCCGACCGUUGGAUGGUAAUGAAAUUUUAGGAUGUUGUCCUAGAGGUAUAAUGUGGACCUCUGGAAGUUAUGGAUUUAAAAUCUGAGGGGUGGAUCUUCCGGAUCAAUCUACGUAGUGACGUAUUUUAUAUAAGUUAUAUAUUCUAUCGAUAUGAAUUCUGAGGUUGGAAUUGAUUAUUGUUUUAGGCGCCGAUCGUCAUGACGCCUUGGCGUAUUGUGCUAGGGAGUUGUAGGGCGAACUCCAGGUGAGUGGGCAGUUUUGUUUUCCGUAUUAUAUAUAUAUAUACUUAACGUUUUCCCAGAAUGAAUUGAAAAUGCAUGAAAUUUAUGUUUAAAAUUGAAAAUGAAAUGCAUAUGAGUAUGAUAUGAAAGAUGAAAUGUAUGAAAUAACAUGUAUAAUGAUGAUGAUUGAUAAUGUAUUGGUAUACAUGAGCUGUUAUGAAAUCCUGCUCACCUGCAUGGUUUAGUGCUUUAUAGUAUUCACCGCAUCGCACGCUCGCCUUGGAUCCAAGUAGAUGCUAGUCGUACAGUCCACGCGGAGUGGGUACGACAGACCAGUCGCGAGAGUGUUAGUGAGAUUCCGACUGGUGGGUGACCUUAGAUUAGUGUGCACAGAUGAUUUAUGAGAAGCACUAGAGCGUAACUUGUGUGCAGAAGGCCGGACGGGUCACAGAGGUGACUCCGGUAGAGUGAUAAUGAUAGAUUUUGAGCUCUAGGUUCAACCGUAUAGGGCUAUUAGAGGGCCUACGGUUGAUUACUUUUUUCUUGCACCUGAUAUGAAUUAUGAUUGCAUGCAUACCUUAUAUUACUGUUGAGAUGAAUGUGGCAUGGCAUAAUUAAUAUGAGAAAUGUUGAGAUGACAUGGCAUGGCAUGAUUUGAUAUAAAGGAGAUAAUGUUGAGAUAGUAAAAAAUGAAGUUUUGAGAGAUAUAUAUGUAUAUUUAUAUUUUUACAUUUCUGGGAAAGUAUACAGGUUUUACGGAGAGGGGUUACAACGUUUUGAGAAAUGUUUGGAUUUGGAAAAGAAUUGUUUUACUGACCCACUCAAUUUUGGUUUUGCGCCCCUCCAGGUUCAGGAAUCACAAAGGUGUGGUGACUACGAGGAAUUCGACGGUGUUCUGACAGAUUGGACAAAAUUAGGACUCACCUUCGGGUGUAUCAAUUUAAAUUGUAUCUUAAAGCUUCCGUACUGUGCAAAUGGUUACGUCACUCUCACGUGACGGCCAGCAUGCCCUCCUUCGGGACGGGGUGUGUCAGUCGAGUUGUGGAGGAUCGAACCAACUCAAAUUGCAUGAUUGUUACACCUUUGGACAUAAACUAAUCAUGCAAAGAAAAUACAUGCAUAGCUAGCCAAAACAUAAAAUACACAACAUACAUAUAGCUUCAACAGCUUUGGCCAGAUGAAAAUAUGUUAGAAGUACUUUAUGAUUUGCUAUAAUACUAAUUUAUAAUUGGUGAGUGAUUUCCUGAAAUUCCCAUUGGGACAAAAGUAUUUACCAUAUAAAUUAGAAUUCUGAUUUUUAAAAUAAUCCUUUAGAACAGUAUUAAAUAACCGUUUUGUUGGAUAUUCAAUUAUUCUCAAAAGAUUCAAUCAGACACAAAACUAUGUCGUUGUUGACAUUGAACAAUAGAGUUCUCGAAAGAGGAAACAUGGUUAUUCAGUUAUUUGAUAGGGACCAAAAUGAUCAAUUAGUAAAUUGAUGCCGCUUUCCCUCUUAAAAGACAAUUAUCAUUUCAGAAUCAUGAUGACCAAACAAAACAUUGGUUUAAGCAAAACACAACCAAUACAUCUUUAAAUCAAAAUUUAAUCAGUGUUGUCUAUAAAAUUCAUUAGUAUUGAUAAAUUGCAUAAAAUAAGGACAUAUUGGAACCAUAAACUUGUAUAAUAAUUGGUACCAAUAGAUGUGCACAAAUCAGUGAAAUAAUAUCACAUAACAAAACUAGUUUUGAAGUACCAAAAUUCAGCAGUACUUCUUUAGUUUGCAAAUUCACUAAAAACUCAAUUAUCUUUUGAUUGUCAUGAAAAUUUUAGGUAUGCACUAGACAUAUAUGGCUACUAUUUCGUAAAAUUUAAUGAUUUUUAAUAUUUUAAGAGAGCCAAAACUUGAAUUUGAAAAGAGAGGUGCUGCAGAAACUGCAGAAAAUGUUCAGUACAGACUUGAGAUUACAAAUUCACCAAAUAUUCAUUGUUCAUCCGAUAUGCAUGAAAAUUUUCAAACAUAAAUUAAACAUACAAAUCUGUUAAUUCCCAAAAUUUCAUAAUUUUUGAGACUUGACAAGUGUACUAAAAGAAAAUACGAAAUGGGAUGUGCUGCAGAAACGGCAAAAAUUCUGCAGUACAUACCGAAGAUUAAAUAAUUCACAAAAAAUUCAAUUUUCAAACCAAUGCUUGUGAAAAUUUCCAGAUUUGAAAUAAAUAUCUCAAUGUAUAUCAUACUAAAAUUUCAUGAAUUUAUCAAUUACAAAAAUAUAUCAAAAUAAUAUUACAAACACAAUAUUAUGCAGAAGUCUGCAGAAUUCCAGCAACAUGGUAUCUCACUUAAAAAUUUACCAUAAAUCCAUUUCUUGUCCAAAAAACGUGAAAAAAUACCAGCAUCUGAAGUCCAUUUAAUAUUACGACUUGACCAAAUUUCAUAAAAUUUGAAGUUAGGGAAGUCUAUCAAAAACUAGAAUGUCUAUCAGCUAUACGAAAUAUGCACUUAUACCAAACAAGAGUCUGCAAAAGAUUUACGAUGUCAUUGAAAAAACUUCCCAAAAUCUCAAUUAAGAAUCGAUAGCCCAGAACUACUCAUAUAAAUAAGAUACAUGAAUUUCAAAUUUGUCAAAAAUAACUAAAGUCCAUCAGAAUUGCAAGAUUUAUGGUUCGAAAAUAAUCUAGUUCAUUGAAAGCCCAAUAAAAGUUUCCUUCCAACAGAUUUAAUUAAUCAUGAAAUCAAUACAGCAAUAUAAUUAAUAAAUACAAUAAACCUAAAGCCGUGUUGUAAUCCUUCUCUGCCGCACAACGAUAAUUAUUCUGGAAAAGGAAGACAACCCUAUAUACUCAAGAAAACUCCAUAUUCUACCGAAAGGAAGAAAAAGGACAAUUAGCCGGUGACUAAUUAUGAACUCCAAAUUCACCGUGUAGUUAAAAUAUUUCCCCUUUAUUUUCCAUGCCCAAUUUUAAUUUGUUUGGACCUAAAUCCCUAAACAAAAUUGCAGACUCAGUGAUACAAAAUUGCGGAAGCAUCGGAAGCAUCUUUAUGAAGUCUCACAAGAUCGAAUAGUCAAAAUAGCCAACCAAACGAUAAACACAAAUUAUGCUUCACUUGUGUCAAUCAUCUACAGUUAAUCAAAUUACCUGUGAAUCGAACCCUAAGCUUGUUGUGUGGCUCUUAUACCACAUGUAAGACAUAUUCUGAAAUCACAACAACAAGACAUUAGGAUCACGAAUAAAUCAAAUCAAUAUGAAAUAGAGAUUGACUAAUUAUAUUGAACUUAUCUAUAGAAUUCGGAAGACAUGGUUAUGAAGAUGAAGCCAUUGAUGAACUCUAGGUUAUCUUCUCCUUCUAGUACUUCAAUAAUAUCUCUCUACUAUAUGAGUAGGGUUUAGCGUAUCUGAGAGAUUAAGCAUAUGGAAGCAGGGACCUAACACUUAUUAUUGGUUGUGAAAGUCAAACCCUAUCACUUAGUGUUUAAGUCCCACCAUGAUACUAUAUCUUUGUAGUGAAAUCCAUCAGAUUUCUUUAGGUCAAUUACAAAGGAUAAGACUCCAUAAUCCUUAUUUCAUGAGGACUAUCAGAUUACUUAAGUUGUUAACAACUCAAUAAACAAGUGGCCUACAACAUAAGUAAUCCAAUACAUCAUUCAUUGUCAUUCACAACCUUACAGUUAACAUAUUAAAUGACUUAGGGCUGGUUUGAUAUUACUAUGCUUUGAAAAAAAACUGCUUAUGUUGUGCUGUGAGAAUAAGCAGCUGUGAAAUAAAGCAGCAGAGUGUUUUGUAAACUUUUUUGUAAAAGUGCUUUUGAAAAAAAAAACAGUAUUAUAGUGCUUGGUAAAUUUUUAUGUAAAACAAAUGUGAAAAAAGCCGGUUUUUUAAAGUUGGGUUUUGCAGCUUUGUAUUUUUGGCUUUUUUCACCCAAAACUGUGAAAAAAAAGCUAAAGUUAAAUGUUUACCAAACACAAAAAAACUCCCAGCUUUUUUUUAUACCCAUUCUUUUUCAGAAUCACCUUAGUAUCAAACCAGACCUUAGUAGGUGCAAGAGCAUACAAUUGAUUAUAAAAACAAACUCUCUCGUUGUUGAGAACGGAAGAUGACAUACAACUGAUUGAUUAUCCCACACAAUUUGAUAGACACAGUAUUAUAUAUAUAUUUUGGUCAACAGACACAGUAUUAUUUGGCGUUAACCAAUUACAUAACUUACUAGAUACAAGAAGAUAUACAACGGAGACCUAUAUGUCCAAUAAUAGAGACAGAAGUGAUUUGAUGUGCAUGCAAUAAUGGAACAUCGGAUAGUGCCAAUUCUUACAUCAAUUUGCAAACACUCCUCGUACAACCAGCUGCCAAUUCUAUAUAUUGUAUAUUGUAGAGUAAUAUUUGAGAGACCAAAUUUUAUAACAAAAUGAUAUGGUUGUUGAUGAAUGAGUUAUAACUUAAGUAUAAUUAAUGUGUUUAAUUUUUUAUUGAUGACACAUAAUUUAGUUUGCAUAUUUGUUUCAAAAAUUUGAUGUAACUAACAUUACCCUAUACUUUAUAACAGGCACACAAGCAUGCACAAUUAAAUCAGAGAUCAACUAGGAAUUACAUAAAAAAUGCAACAAGUAGCGUUGCAAUUUGCAUUGAUUUGAGUUUAUUAAUCAUGUUUAACCCAACAAAAUGUAUUUACAAGUUCUUCUUCGAACCUUCAAUCCCAAGACCUUAAUACAUAAUUAAGCCUAAAACCACAUGCUAAUCUAACUACCAAACGACACGUCGCUUUGGUUUUGCUGAGCUGGACGCGGUUUCACCAACUAUUCUACUGUAAUCAUCCCAUAAUCUAACGACGUUACCGUUAAGCUCCGUCAAGUCCUGGUACCUGUACCAACUCAUCUCUCCCGUUCUCAACGUCAAAACAUCCUCCCACCAACUAGCCGCCGCCACCUCAUCGCUGCCGCUUUCUUCCGUCUCAUCCUUCUCCGGCGUCAGUGAUGAGGUCGCUGUCAGGUCACUCUCAACGUCACUAUCCUCAAAAUACACCGCAAACUUCGAACCCUUUGUCAGCUGCACUGUGCUGUCACCGAACUUAGCCAAUGCCGGAACAAAGCAUGGUGGCUCCACCUUCUUCGCCGCCGAAUUUGACUGAGUUAUCUCGGGAACCGGCGACGACCCAUUUAAGCUGAGGCCGGAAAUGGCAGGUUGGGAGCGGAAUUUCAAUGCAGAAGAAGAGAUGGCACUGGUGGCGGCGGCUCUAGGUCUGAGCCUCCAGAAGCUAACGGCGGCGGUCAAAACGGCGAUCCAAGUCCACAGAUUGUUCACAACAGUGAACAAUCCGAAGCUCAAGUAAUUGAAAGCAAGAGCUUCGAGAUUAGAAUCCAACACGUUCAUGAUUGAAAUCGAAGGUUGCGAAACAGAGGCAGAGGAGGGUUUUUGUUUUGGUGUUGGUUUAAGGUUUGUGAGAGGUGUGAAGCUUACGAGGUGUUGGUCUCUGGUGGCGGUGAAUUUAUGGGGGUAGGAGAGCGAGGGCGCGGGAGAAUGUGAGCCGUUGGUUUCUUUAGGCCCUGUCCAGUUUGGAUCUCGAUAGAGAGAUGCCAGAAGAGAUGCCAGGAAUCGAGAGCUAAGAUGCGAAUCGCUCAAUGGUAGAUCCCAAUUCUUAUACCGCAUUUUUUCACCACUUGAUUUGAUUGAGUCAUGGCUAGGAACCAAGUGUCGUCUUCCUUUCGUGAACCCCACAGUGAGAAGCAAACCCUUGCCUUCAUGCUCACCAUUAAAAUAGCAUGGUCUAGAAACUGAUAGAAAAUUGUAGGAUAACAAACAUACUUGUGGUUGAUAGGCUUUGGCAGUCAUUUCAGUUAACCACGCGUAACUCACUCUUAGGAAUGUUCCGUUAUUUCAAGUUAGUCACACAUAUUUUAAUUUUUAUAAUGUAGUAUGCUCUUUUUUUAAGAUAAUACAUGGAAUUAUAUAUUCUCGUAAGCAAAGAACCGCACCUUACAGUAAUUUCUAAUAGUACGAACCCCUACAUUAGAAUUCUUGUGUUCGAUUUUUUCUUAGGUAAUAUCAAAUUAUAGAAUAUAGAAAAAAUAAAGGGGUUUUUGAACAUUAGUCCUUGCAAAAUAUUAAAAUUUAAAAAAAAAAUCUGGUGCUAGAUUACAUAUUCAACUUAAUCCCUUGAAGUGCACUUUUAUCAAAAUUUAAUUCAAUUUUAUUAUUUAAUGUGUAUUUUUAUUUAAUCUCUCCACAUUAAAUUUUAAUUUUAUUAAUAUGCACAUAUUUAGUUUUUUAAUUAUAAAUGAACAUAAAUGAGAAAAUAUUAAAAUAAAUUUGUGAUACAAAAAUAUAUAAAUACAUAAAUAACUGUACCGAAAUAUAUAAUAUUGACUUUUUGUACCAAAAUAUUUGUACGUACAUGAUUGUACCAAAAUAUAUUAUAAUGAACCUAAAUGUAUGUACCGAAAUGUAUUAUAUUGAAUUAAUAUACCUAAAUGUCAAUACCGAAAUGUAUGUACCAAAAUGUAUGUACCGAAAUAUAAUAUAUUGAAUUAAUGUACCUAAAAGUCAAUACUCAAAUGUGUGUACCAAAAUGUACGUACCUAAAUACAUUAUAUUGAAUUAAUGUACUUAUAUGUUUAUAUCGAUGGAUAUACAGAAAUAUUAACCUAGAUGAAGAACAUACAUAAUUGUUAUCGGAAUAUAUAUUAUAAAAAAAUUAGUUGCCUAAAUGUAGACAUUAAAAUAUAUUAUGAUGAAUGAAAUAAAAAUUAAAUUUAAAUGUAAUUAAUACAUUAAAAUAAAAAUAAAAAGAUAAAUAAAACAUCAAAAUAUAACUAAUAAGUGAGAUGAUUAAAUGUAAUAGGGACUAAAAUUGAAUUUUAAUCUUAUACAAGAUUAUAGUCUAAAACUCAUCUUUUUUAAGGAUUAAAAUGAAGUUUUCUAAAAAAUGGACAAUCGUGCAGUGUAUAUCAAAGCCAAAUAUGUAUACCAUUAUGGCAUUAUCCAAUCAAGCUUCGGAUAUUGUUGCAUUAUGUGCUGUCUUUUUCUUAAUUCAAAGACUCGUAUCAGCCUGCAUUACACUAGGUAGAGUAUUACCCUUAUUUUCAGUUUAACACAAGAAAAUAAAAUAAAUGUAUGUGGUCUAAUGUUUUAAUGGAUAAAUUAUUGAGUUUCUACUCAUGUAUUUUAGGCUUGAAAAUCCAUCAUUUUUAAAUUAAUGUAAUAAUUUUGAAUCAUCUUCCUCCCCUUAAUAACAGUAACCAAGAAAAACGUAAGAAAAUAAAUAGGAUAAGAAUGAGUAAUGUUAUUCAUGCUAUGUUUUUAUACCACAUUUAUAUACCAUCUUAGGUGGUAUCUGUUGUGGACACCCAAGGAAAUGAGAGAGAAAGACUCCUCGUAUACCACAAGCAUCAUUUAAUUAACUAGUUUUUCUUAAUUAUUAGUUUAUUAAAUAAUAAACUAAAUUUAAAAAUCUAAUUAAUUCAAAUGAUUUGGUUGUCCACAUCAAAUGCUACCUAAGGUGGUAUGAAAAUGUGGUACAAAAAUAUGGUAUGAAUAUCUUUACUCAUAAGAAUUUCAAGAAAAGAAAAGUGAAACGUGACAGAAGGUUGUUAGCUCAGCAUGGAGUUACAUGCACAUGUAAUACUACAUUGUAUUUUGACUUUUGAAUUAGAUUGAAAUGAAUAACUCUAAUUUGAAAUUAGAGGGGGAUAGAAAUAAAAUAAACUUUAAUUCUACAAUUCUCGGGAGAAUUGUAAUUGAUCAGUUUUUUUUCUCAGCAAUCCAUUUAUUUUCUUGAAGAGCUACAAUUUUCUCAUGUCUUUCUUUUAACGUACGUUAAAAUAGUGGCUUGCCCUUUUAAUGCAAACUUUGGUACGAAACAAGAUUGUAUAGUGUUCACAUUCCACACUAAUUAGAAUGCAAGAUAUGAAUGCCGAGCGAACUAAUUGGUGGUUGUGAUUGAUUAGAGUAGCGUUAGGUAAAGAUGAUCUGGUAGAUAUCUUGUCAAAAUGUUUAAGCUUGAUGCAGAACACAAAGUCCAUUAAAUGACAACCAAUUGUAUGGGGAGUAUAAGGUUUAAUUAAACUUAAAAUGUUGUCACUUAGGAAUUUGUUAAGUCUUGUAAGAGUCCCAUAGAAAGAAGAGGUUUAUAAAAUAUUAUAAGCCUUUUAAAGUGUAUUAGAAUGCCUAGAAUGGCAGACUUGAUUAAUUAGUAAAGAAACAUAUUAAUAUAUGCCUUGUACAAUUGAAGUGAGUGACUUUCAUUUGAAGAGUUAUAGAUCACCAAAAAUUUCUUGGAGUCUAGUUUCCAACGCAACAAAUCGUGCAUCAAAUCAAAUUUUUUCUGUGCAGAUAUUGGCAAAACACCACAGAGCAUCAGUGUUGUGGCAAAAAAAAAACAAUCAAUUCCUUAAUGGCCAUGUUUUGAUUUGAGCAUUUCUCGACUUUGAUGCCAUAUAUCAUUUGAAAGCCCUUCCAGUCUAGUUUUUAACUUUCCAUGCGAUUCCUCAAACUGUUAUUUCUACAAAACGAUAUCCUCAAUUUACUAAAGCAUGUUGCUACUGCCAGUAAACAAGGUUAGGUGGGUUCUAGAAACGUCUGCCUCUGAUUUUUCUGGUGACGACUUUCUAAAUUUUAAUCUUCCUCCAAUUUUUAUCAUUGUCUCGAUGGUUCAUGUGAGAUUUGUUGUACUACAUGUAUUGAGGUUGAAAAAUGUUCCAACAUUGAGUUUGGCAUGAACGGGGAACAUAUAGAAUGCAGUGACGAAGUCGAUAACUUUGCUAAAUGGGAUUUUGCCGCAGUUUAUGAUCAUUACGAAGGCGAAGAAGAUGUAGUUGAAGAGUUCCAUGUAAAAAUAUAUAAUGGAGUACAAGCUCUUAAGAUAUGUAGCAUUCAUGAUCCAUUUUGGGACGGUUUCGUUGCUCGAGAUGAAAGGAGAGCUCUUUGAUAGAAGAACUUUUCAACAUGAUUUAAAUUAUCUUUUACUCAUUCACAAGUCAUGAAUGUGAAGAAGUGAUUUGGAAGGAUUAUUCCAAUGUGAUUAUUCUCAAGAAGAAAAGAUUAAUGUGUGCAUGGUCUAUAGGAAUUUGGAAAAUUUUGUUGCUAAAUUGGGUUUGUGGAACAUCUUAGUUGGACAUCCAGAAGAUCGAUGAGAAAAAAGUCAAUUGAAAAUAGAGAACAAGUUCUUUUUUUUUUUUUUUUUUUUUUACAAAGAAGAGUAGAAUGAUGCAGUACACAAAAUUCAUUAAAUGACAACCAAUUGUAUGCGGAGUAUAAGGUUUAAUUAAACUUUAAAUGUUGUCACUUAGGAAUUUGUUAAGUCUACUGUCACUUAGGAAUUUUUUAAGUCUACUUUGGAGGUUGUAAGAGUCCCAUAGAAAGAAGAGGUCUAUUAAAUAUUGUAAGCCUUUUAAAUAGUGUAUUAGAAGCCUAGCUAGAAUGGCAGACUUGACUAAUUAAGAAAUACACAUUUGUCUUGUGCAGUUGAAGUGGGUUAUUUCUCCUUCUAAAAUCAAACAUUUAGUUUAGUUAUAUGAGUGAAUCCACAAUUAACAACGUACAAAAAAACUCUGUUUUCCGAGCGAAUCCUAGGUGACUUGUCCUUCGUCCCCAAAACUCCUUGGACCCUGCACCAAAGCUGAUAGGGUUGGGGAAGUCAUGAUUAAUUGAUGGGCCUAUCUUUUAAGCAAUUACUUUAUAUACAAAUGGUUGGAAAAUAUUAGUAUUUUGAUUUAUUUGAAUGUUUGGUUUUAUGGGUUUAGCCCGUUAGAAUUAGGUUUUGUUAGAGAUUAUGGUUAGUUUAUUAUAAAUAAGGUGCUUUGUUAUUCAUUGGAGAACAAGUCAUUAACAAUGUAGUCUUUUAGGGUUUUGUGGCCAUUUCGACAUUCUCGUUUAUUUAAUAAUAUUCUUAUUAUUUUGUUAGUCUUGUUCGUUCCACACUCUGAUAUUCAACUAAUAGUUUGACAAGUCACACGUAUACCCAAAAAAAAAAAACAAUUGUUAUCUUUUUAAGGCUUUUAAUGCGGUCCCUUGGUUUCUAAUGAUAGAUUUAAAUGAAUUGUCUAUGGUGACUUCAUCAUGCGAUGUAUAUGUAUACAUUUAUAGAAAAGGAAAUUAAGUUGCAGAAGCUUUAGCUUAAUUUGGGGCAAAAUGCUUAUUAGUCUACGGUUCUAGAUUUUGUUGCAUUUGCCCGUGCUCAUGACAUUUCAUUUUGUCCUUAUUAUCGUUUUCGUUGAUCAUGUUGUAUUUGGCUUCUUGGCAUAGUCCCCGGCUUGUAUUUUUUCGUUUACUUUAAUUAUUAUCAACAAAUUUGGUGGAAGAGGGAUAUGCAGGAGGUUUCUGGGUGCAAUCGUUCUCUUCUCUUCGGGAAGGUAGGUGUCUCGCACACGACCAUUGUCGAAUAGCUAAUCUCGUCUAAUUUUUUUCUACCUGAGAAGAAAAAAAAACUAAAUUUGUUUGUGCCACUUAGUAUUACAGUCCAGUGAUUUAUAUUCAAACUUUGUAGAUGAAGACUUUAAUUCCCCUGCCUGUUAAUGUAAAUGUAUUUUAUAUAAGAAAAUAAAAUAAAUAACACAUUACCUAUUACACAUAAGAACAGCCAAAUAUCAUCUGUUGAUGACAAGCGAUAGAGCUUAGAAAACCCGAAAGACAAAUAUGGAAGAACCUAUUACACAUAAGAACAGCCAAAUAUCAUCUGUUGAUGACAAGCGAUAGAGCUUAGAAAACCCGAAAGACAAAUAUGGAAGAAGGGCCAAGAAAGGAUUCAAUCAGAAAAAUAGUUUCGGAGUGGAUCAGGUGAUUUAAGCCCCCGAGUCCCCAUGCCGAAUACAAAAGCAGGUUUGCACAACGAUGAUGUAUUUUAUUUAUUUAUUUUUAUUGUUUUGUGGAGGGGAAUCAAACAUAUGAUACAUCUUUUAUCAAUAAUUUACUAAAUUUAAGGCUUAAGAAUCUUGAUAAGCGGUGAAUUACUGAAUUGCUCUUAUGUAUACUGUAUAGAGUUUUUUUUAUGGGAAAAUUAGGUUCACAUUCUUAUUUUUGUGACUUCAUUGAUUAAAAUCCUAUUCAUUUUUAAUUUUUUAUCAAGGUUCUUGGGUAUUAAUAACAUCAUUAAUUAUUUGAAUAAUAAAAUAUUUUUAUUUUUAAAUAUAUUCUUUUAAUGUUAAAAAUGUUACAAUUAGUAUAUUUAUAUUUAUGACUAAAUUUUAUCAUAUAUUUUUAUUGUUAGUUUGUACCUAUUUUUAAUUUGCAAAUAUUUUUUAAUUUGUACCAAUUUUCUUUUCAUUUUUAAUUUGUACCCAUAUAUUAGUUUCUUGUUGUGACAUAUGUUCUUAUCAAUAUGUGAUUGUGUAAAUCCUAAGUAGAGAUAAAAUAGGAAUCCUUUGGGAUCUAGAAGAUCUUCCCUAAUAUACUUUGUAUUACUUGGAGAGCAAGUUUAUCUCCUCCUAAUUACUAUAAAUAAAGGCACAAGGACUGGGGAAUUAACACACAAUUCCUCAAGUCUAUUCUCCAAUCUCUCUUCUUCUCUUUGCGGCACAUCUCUGUAAAAUAUAUGCCACAACACGUUAUCAGCACGCUCUUCACGCUGUGCUUAGAAGAAUUUAAAGAGAAUUUAUUCGUCUAGAAUCAGGGGAGUAUUACGUUUCAAUUAUUUUAAUUGAUUAAAUCUUGAUUUUAUUGAAUUCAUAUAUUGUUAUUGAUUCAAUUUAUUUUUCUUCUUAUGUUGAACGUGAUACAAGCUUGAAGAUGAAAGCUGAAAUUGAAGAAAUAAUUUUUCUGCAUCAAACCAGUUCAUUCAUAUAAUCACGCAAUUAGGUUCUUCCAAAACAACGGCUUUUAACUCGAUAUUUUUGAAGCCCUGAUAGCAUGAACAUUCACCAUGAUGCAUGACCCAACUUUACGUUUAACGUAUUUUAGAUUCUACAUAAAUUGUGUAUGCCUUAUAACCAAAAUUGUUGCAAUUAUGUGAAUUUGAUAUUUGCCAUGAAUUGAAUCUUACAUAUGUACAUGCAUUGAAACUAUUAUUUGCAUAUGCAUCAACGUAAAUAUGUGAUUCAUUGAAAUAUAUAUUGAAUUUCAUAUGCAUAUAAUUGAAUUAAAUUAUAUUAGAAAUUUUCAAGAAACCUAGGGUUUCUUCCCCGUGACCUCGACAUCACUGGGCUCACGCGAGCCCACAAUAGGAUGCGAAGCACCAGAGCAAAACCCUUGCUCCAAUCUGAAAGAUGCCUUUGGCAUCAAACCCUAACCCACGGUGCCGCCCGAAGUCGGCCACAGCUUCACCACCGUUAUUACUGGGUACUCACACAUGCAGUUGUGAUUGGGACAUAGCCAUCAUCGAAGACGAUGGGUUUUUUUUCAGAAAGCUCAAUGAACACCGCCGGGUUCUUUGAACCCCGAUGGUUCUCGGAUCCCCCGACGUCGAAACCAAAGGUCGCCGUCUACAACUACGGUUCCCAGUUGAACCCACAGGCUUCGCCAUGCCUUAAACCCCCGAGGACAGUCGCUCAAAGCGACGCCGGCAUCCCCCCGGUUCGAUUCCGACACCCAGCGCCGCUGGGGUGUCUUGAAUCCCAAAAUCCGAGCCCUAGUGGGCUCCUGUCCCUCGGCCUGCAUCAGCGCCUUUGGGCCUGCUGCUAUUUUGAGAUGUCACGGCCUAACCCGUGCGAAAGAAAAAAAAAAAAUUUUGUUUGUUUCUGGGCUCGCUUGUAGCGGCCCAGCCCGAAAAAAGGGAUUUUUUUUAGUUUUCUUUUGGGCGUGCUUGAUGCAGCCCUUUGUGUGAAAAAAAAAAAAAUUGGGGUAUGCCCGCAACAGCCCAACCCCAUGCUGUCCCCGUGGGCCUGCAGCCCCACCCGAGACACCCUAGCCCCAUUUUGGGCCUAGGUCACACGACACCCAUUUGUUUACGCCACCCCGUGGACUUAAUUUUUCUGUUGGGCCCCACAUUUUAUCUGCCUAAUUAUUUUUAGGCCCAAUGGGUUUUAUAUUUUUUUCACCCACAUUUUAAUUUGGCCCGAAGUCCAAAUAAAUUAAUUCAAUUACAAUUAUAAACCUGAAGUUAUAUCUUUGUAUAUCCUUGUUGUAUAUUUGCUUGCAUAUAUAUAUAUAUUUGUGUUUGUCUGCAGGUAUUAUGAACUUAAAAGUUCAUACUUCCGAACCCAAAGUUUCGGAAAAGUGCCAUAUGAACCUGAAGUUUCUUAAUGCGCAACACUCAUGUUGAGACCCGAAGUUCUCCAUGCUUAAAUCCGUUUAAACCAAACCAUGUCUUAGAACCUGAAUGUUCUAAAUUUGUUGUUUAUGGAAAUUUUAUUUCCUAAAACACCAAUCACAUUCUUGUUUCCUCCAUUCAGCGUAUUGUCAAACCGUAACAAGUUCGAUUUCACUGACUUGGAAGUUUCGAAUAGUAAACUACUUUAUGUGGAUACAAGACGUGAAUAAGCAUCCGUCAAGAUCCUUAUUCGAAGAAUUAUGCUUGAAGCAUAUCCAAUGGAAGUACCUCCAUGCUGAGGACUCCAUGACUCUUCAAAUCCAUUAUGGACUGUUUCAAAUCAUGCAAAGAUGAAUUUUUGCCUGAAGUAAAACAUGAUUGAAACUGUUACGUCCAUGAAUAGGUACAAUUCUCGUAGUCCAUUUGUGAAGACUCAUUUUGCUCCACCUAAUACAUUUGGAAGAGCGAAAUUUGAUAUGGACGGCCUAUUGGCCGAACCCUAUGGUUUUUUUUUGGUUUAUUUUGUGAAUAAUUUAUUUUGUUCUCGGAUUUAAGAUUAGUGUUUGGAUGUCACCAUUAUUCUCGAAUAAAAGAGUUAAUUAACGAAGAUUACCAUAUGUGACUACAAUUAACUCAUGCUUAGGUAUGUUUUGUGGGGAAGUUAGAUGUCUAGUUCUAUGCUAACUUCAUACCUAAUCAUCCCCUGACAACCUUUCAGGCUUAUCCAACCUGAUUGUGGGGCAUGGCACUGCCCUAUAUUGUCCAAUGGUAUUAACUUUACCAUAAAGGGAAGCCUUAUACUCACUUCGUUCCGGAAGAACGCCCUUUUGAGCUUUAAGGAUAUUCGAGAGUAUUAUUACCAUAUCGAAACCAAUGUAGAAAAUGGAGUAAAAAUUCCUUGGCAUAUCACCAUUUUUGCACUUCCUACGAAUAUAGUUAAAUGCAUAUUCUAGAGAAGAUGGAACGCUUAACGAAUGGAUUACAUCCAUUCAGCCCCAUUAUAUGGCCGGCCAGAAGCCCGCGAUUCCUAAGGAAUUUUCUCUAUGGAUGUACGUUUGGGAUAUCUAGGAUGAUUCGUGAUGCGCCGUUUUGGGCAUCCUUUUACCAGAAGUAAAGAAAUCAUACAUGGGCACGUAUUAUACCUUAGCACCCUCCAUCUUUUUACAAAGGAUUCCAAUGGGACAUUUGUGGAUAGAUUCAACCACCCUACGGACCAUUUAAAUAUUCUAUAGUAUUGGUUGAUGUUUCUACACGUUUGUCACACGUGUGGUUGUUGUCCACAAGUUGCAUUCUCCACAUUGGUAGCUCAGAUUAACAAGCUCAGGGCUCACCACCCUGAUUAUCUGAUCAACUUUAUUUGAUUGGAUAAGUUAGAGAAUUUACAUCGACAUUUACAUCGAACACUUUAAAUCUCGAUGGAUAUUGCAUGUCGGUUGGGUUUUUUUGAAGUUGAACAUCCAGUCCCAUGUUCAUACCCAGAACGACCCAGCAGAAGUAUUCAUUAAACGCCUUCAAAUGAUUGCGUGGUCGACUGGUCAUACGUACCACAGUUCCCGACCUCUGCUUGGGGCCAUGCAAUAUUGCAAGCAACCAUGUUGGUCCGCCUGAGGCCCGUCAAGACCCAACCUUAUAAAGCGCGUGUCAGUUGGUUACCAGAUACGAACUCGACAUAUCGCAUCUGCGCGUCUUUGGUUGUGCGGUCUAUGUGCCAUUUGCGCCGCCCUUACGUACACAAGAACAAAAGGGUCCUCAGGGAAGGAUGGAAAUCUAUGUCGAUUAUGAUUUUUCUUCUAAUAAUCGUUACUAAAUAACCUUUGACAGGCGAUCUCUUUACCGCUCGUUUUGCGGAUUGUCACUUUUAUGAGCUAGUCUUCCCGUCGUUAGGGGGAGAUAAGAACGUCACCGUCCCUAAAGAACGACGCAAAUUAUCGUGGACGUCCCAACUAUGUCUCAUAUCGAUCCCAAUCUAGAUCGUCAGAAUUUAACUAGACACUUCCUCUGAUCUAGAAAAAGUGACAAUAUCACAUAUACCAGCUGCAAAUGUGCCUGCAAAGAUGUGUACCAAAUGUACUUCGGACCUUUGUCCUGAAAGUAGGAAAACCACAAUUGUGGCCGACCCUCGUACAUUGGCGGCUAGCCAAUCAAUCUAUCUUAUGCCAGAAGCAUGGUAGAUAACUCGGUUCAAGGAUUCACCUCCCCAAAAGAGAAGGAACGUGGCAGGAAUGAAUUCGUCCCUCGAUCGCGGUCUCAGACCUUUUCAUCUCAUGAGAUUAAAUCUGGAUUACUCCCGAGACCUGAAGUUCUUGGUCCAGUAUACUAGUUUGGAUGAGAUAUGGAAUUGGAAUGAGAUUAUCAUAAAUGAUGUUUCAUUUAUAUGGUACCGACAUAAAUGAAAAGCGACGAUAACGAACCGCAUUCCGUUGAUUAAUAUCAACGUAGAACUGAUUGGUCAACUAAAAAAAUCAAUCUAUGAUGAAUGAGAUGAAUGAAAUAGUGCAAUAUGACGCCUUGUGGUGCAAGGUUUCUCUCAUACGCCAUGUGAUUGAUUGCAGCAUUACAAAUGUGGUUGUAGUAUCUCUGGGAUCGUGAUAUGAACCUACAUGGAGUUUCCAAAAGACUUACAUGUACUGAUUCAAAUAGUUCUAGACCACAAGAACAUCAUCUUGAUUCCCAAGAAGCCUUCACUUUACGGAUGCAGAACUAUCCGGGCGGAUGUGGUAUACCCGUCUAAGUGAAUAUUUGAUCAGUUAGGAAUAUAUGCCCCUGCGUGUAUAAAAUCCAAAAUUGCUAGAGUUGAGCAAAUUAACUCGCAUGUCGGACUAUAAGAUGAAUGAUCUUGGGAGAACUUGACAUUACCUCGACCUGAAGUUUCGAGCUAGUUUUGAUGGUAUUCUGGUCCACCACUCAAACUAGACCCAGAAGGUGUUAUGUAUGAGUAUAUCCCGAUCAUUUGUAUGCUAGAUGCAAAUGAGACCUUUAACGGAGGGUAUGGAGCAUAAGGUUCCAUAUUGGAACGUGAGGCAGCCAUAUCUAAGUACCAUUGGCGUUUGUUGUACUUAGCUCAAAUGCACUAGAUCAAACAUCUUAUGUGCUGAUAAUCUUUUGGCAUAAAGCAGCACUGCGCCUAACACGCCGCUACCAAAUUUGGUGUUAAAGACGUUUUUUUCCGUUACUACGGAUUUGGGCUUAUUCCCUAUACAUCUCAGAAUAGAUCACACCCCCUUGAUCUUCGGAAUGAUGCCUACCUUGUGGGAUUCGCUGAAUCAGACCGUCUAUCUGAUCACACAAGGUACGUUCCCGCAUGGUUAUGUCUUUACCAUUAAGGAACACCGCAAUAUCUUGGAGGUUAACUAGAUAGACCUUUUGUUGCGAAACCUUUGAAUCAUUCCAAGAUUCACUAUGUCUCAUCACGUGAGAGAUAUGGUCGAGAAUUCUUGUUGAGCAUAUUCAAAAUCCCUGCGUUUUUCAUCCAUCAUUGAGUCCCAACAACGAUCCAUGAAUACAACGCUGUAUGUAUCGACCAGAUCAUGAUACAUCCAACAAGUCAACACCAAGCAUAUUGUGUCUACAUCAGCAUGAGCAUCAGAAGAUUGAAGUCAAGCAGUCCAAUCCCAGAUAACUUUGCUGACAUCUACACGGAGUCACUACUGAAGUCUACAUUUCAGAAGCUUGUCCAAGGAAUUGGUAUGCGUAACUUUCUCAUUUGCGAUGCUUGUAGUUUCAUUUGGAAGUUUUGUCAAACUCAGGGGGAGUAUCUAGAAGUAUACUCACUUGAUCUUAAUGUACUCUUUUUUCCUACGAUUAGGAGCAUUUUUCCCACUGGGUUUUUGCUACCUAACUAGGUUUUAACGAGGCACCCAUCAUAGGCUGAUCAUACCCUUGUGAGCUCUUCUACUUGCGUCCAGAAGACGUAUAGUUUUGACUUAAUGCAACUUCUCACUUUUCUCCUUAGCCUAUGGGUUUUUCUCCCACCUUGGGUUUUGCCAUAGCAAGGUUUUGUGAGUUUUACCACUCCUGCAUUCUUCCGUUUGUUUUGAGACUCGCAUUCGCUACUUGUGCCGACUAAACGAGACGAUUUCAUCCACUACUUCUACAUUUGCCUGAAGAUCUGAUGCGCCAUCUACUUGAGUAUUUGCACACUCAAGGGGGAGUGUUGUGACAUAUGUUCUUAUCAAUAUGUAAUUGUGUAAAUCCUAAGUAGAGAUAAAAUAGGAAUCCUUUGGGAUCUAGAAGAUCUUCCCUAAUAUACUUUGUAUUACUUGGAGAGCAAGUUUCUCUCCUCCUAAUUACUAUAAAUAAAGGCACAAGGACUGGGGAAUUAACACACAAUUCCUCAAGUCUAUUCUCCAAUCUCUCUUCUUCUCUUUGCCGCACAUCUCUGUAAAAUAUAGGCCACAACAACAAUUAGUAUAUUUAUAUUUAUGGCUAAAUUUUAUCAUAUAUUUUUAUUGUUAGUUUGUACCUAUUUUUAAUUUGCAAAUAUUUUUUAAUUUGUACCAAUUUUCUUUUCAUUUUUAAUUUGUACCCAUAUAUUAGUUUCUUUUUGUGCCCAUAUUUUUUAAAGUUUUAUUUGUGUUUGUACCCAUAUGUAUACCGUCACGUGACAUUGUAUAUUUAAUCAAUGAUAGAAAAAUUACAUAUAGUAUAUUUAUGUUUUAUGCCUAAACUUUGUAUCAUAUAUUUAUAUUUUUAGUUUGUACCCACUUUUAAUUUGCAACAUUUUUUUUUAAUUUGUAGUAUUUUCUUUUUAGUUUUAUUUUGUACUCAUGUAUUAAUUUCUUUUAGCGCCUAUAUUUUUUAAAAUUCAUUUGACUAAGGAAAGCAGGAAGAGUUUUGAACCAAAGACAUUGUGUAUUGAAGAGAAAGACACAAUCCACUAAAGCAAUAUACCAGUAGCCUUUUUGAUAUACCUUAAAGUAGUAAUAUCAUUUGUAAUAAUAAUAAUAAUAAUAAUAAUAAUAAUAAUAAUAAUAAUAAUAAUAAUAAUAAAGAGUGAUAAUAAAAAAGACUUCACAAUAAAAAAAGAGUUUAACAUUUUUUUUUUAAAUAAACGAUACUAUCUACGUUAAAAGGGUGGGGGAGUGAGCUAAGCCUCACAAUGGGUUAGCAAUAAUGUGGUUUACAUUCGCCUUCGGCAAGAAUCAAACCUAAGAUCUCUCACUUGCAAGUAAAGAGGAAUAUCACUAGACCGUAGUACUAAGUGGUAAUAGAGUAAACAAGUUGAAGUUUGGUUGCAUUGACAGUAUCAUAAUUAAGUUGAAUUUUAGUGGCACAUUCAUCUGUUUUAUAGUAAAUUUUAGGUUAUGAAGAGACAAUUGCUGAUUUUAUGAAGAAAUAGUAGUCGGUGCUAUCAAACUUUAACUUAAUUACGAUAUUGUCGCAACACCUAAACUUUAAUUUAGUUAAGAUAUUGUCGUUGCACCUAAACUUUAACUUAUUUAUAUCCGUUUCUUUUUAUUUCAUUUAAAGAAGAAGAUGAAAAAGAUAUAAGAAAUUUGUAGCUUAGUUGGUUAAAAAUAUUUAUUCAUGUCCUCCAAGUCUUAAGUUUGAUUUUCUUCUUCCACAACUAGCAUAUGGGCACACACAAAGUGUGUGUGAAUUUUUUUUUAUUUUGGUUUUUGAAGUAGAAGAAGAGAGGAAGAGAGUGAUAGAGAAUAUAUGAGAGUGGGAAGCUUUUUUAUUUUUUAAUUUUUUUAUUUUUUUUAAUUAGAUAUAUGUUAGGAUUACAUGUAGGUGAGACUUUGAAGAAAAAAAAAUAGCAAAAUUUGGUUGUAUGAAAUUACAUUUAUGCCCAUAUUACUUAUUCAUGUUUAGUUUUAAUUAGAGGGUUAAACUGAUAAUUUCAUAUGAUUUUGAUUGACAAUGAGUGUUUUAUUAAUAUGUAGUUUAGAUACUAACACAGCCUUUUGUCCAUUAUAUUAAAGAAAGUAAAGCAACUUUAAAGUAGUUUUUAGUUUUCUUUUUCUUUUUCCUUUUCUCUUCUCUAACAACAUCUUAUUCUUCUCUUGUUUCAAUCAUGCUUUCCCAAUAACAAAAAAACUAGAAACCCAAUUGUUAUCCAACGACCCUUAACAACCAUUUUCUCUAUGUAGAGGAGUACAUAAGAGGGAUGGUGAGAUCAAAAGCCACUCUCAAGAUGAAUAAAGCGAUCAAAACCAUUUUGUUCGACUGUUUUUAAUAGCUUCAUAUAUAUAUAUAUAUAUAUAUAUGUGUGUGUGUGUGUGUGUUUGUUUUUUUUUUUCGGUAUUUUUAUUCUAUGCAAUUUUUUUGUCAAACAAUAGAUUUUGUUAGAUUAGAUGUUAGAUUAGCCAUUGAAGGAGUUCGAAUCCACGCUGUCAUGCAAUGACUCAACAUCUUUCCACCCUUGUAGUAAAUGAUGACUUGCUAUACUUUAUGCGAAUUGUUUCUCUAAUUUUUUUCACUAUAAUCUUAAUUUAGGAAAUUAAUGACAUGACAUGCACAAGUGCUUAUCACUGUGUAAGUGUUGUCAUUUUGGUUGUUAGGGUUCUACAUUUUUUUCCCUGUUUUAAUUCCCACCAGUGGGUGGUAUGUAGGCGAUUACGAAUUUAAUUAAUGAGUUCUAAUUUAUGUAAACGAUAAUAGGCAGACACUUGUUACUGUUGUGGGGGAAGCUGGAGGUCCAUCUCAUGACAGAGAGAUGGUGAGGACUUUGGUGGAAGGUUACAAUGGCUAUGGUGUCAAGCAUACUUGCGUGAUGGAACACAGGGAAGCGACGAAGUCUACAAAAAGAAAAAAACGAGAAGAAAGAAGAAGAAGCUGCAUCGCUUGCGAAUAUUGGAAGUUCAGUCGAGUCUUGAAACUGAAAGAGAAGAUUUUCUCCUUUUGUAUUGCAUAGUUGGAUGUACUUUAGCCUACCUAGGCUUCUUUAGUGAUAUAGAAGGAACUUUAUGUACCAAAAUCUCCAUCUGAAUUUGAUAGUAAAAUUUUACACCUACAUAAGAAGAAGAAGUAAAGAUCACAAGGAAAUGAAUGGGUCUUUAGAAUUGACAAAAAAUUUCGGUAUGUGAAAACAUUAAAAAUUGCUGUAAAAUUCAUCAGGCAAUUCCAACAUUAAAACCUGCUGUAAAAUGACCUGAUUUGCUCAAAAACUCAUCUUCAAUCAAUGGCUAGUCUAUAAUUCUGUGGAGCCCACUAGGCUAUUAUUUGACCAAAAGAGGCAUCAGGCUAGCCAAAUGUAACCCUCCUUUUAACCUUUUUUUUUUUUUGACCCAACUCUUCAGUUACAGUAAUUGAUUUAAAUUUAACGACUAGAUUUGAAAACAUCCAAAGAUAGAUAUAUUAAAUUAAUCAAUAAACUUAAACUUUAAACUGUCACUCAGUACUAUGGUUUGGUGGUAUUUCUCUUCACUUAAACUUUAAACUGUCACUCAGUACUAUGGUCUGGUGGUAUUCCUCUUCACUUGAAAGUGAUAGGUCUUAAGUUUGAAUCUUGUAGAUGGCAAACUCGAUACCAAAUUAGGUUGCUCAUUGUGUGCUUAGCCGAACUCCCCUCUCCUUCGUGUAAAAAUAUCGAUGUACUAAACAAAAAGUAUAAACUUAAAACUAAUAAUAAAUUAUUGAGGGGGCUAUGUUUAGCCUUUUCGGCCAGAUAUAAUAUAUGAAUAUGACCUGACAUUAUUCAUUUAGAAAUAUUUUUUUGCAAGACUAUAUUUUUGGAUAGGGCUAUAUUUAGCCUUUUCGGUUAGAUAUAACUUAUUCUUUUAAAAUCAUAUACUGAUUGUGUUGCAGAUGCCGCUAUUAGUCCCACGAUAAUAAAGCUUGCCUUAACAUGCCCUUACCAUAAAAUGAGAAUUAGUUUACAGUACUAUAUAUUGUGUGUGAGAAGGAGAAAUUAAGAUGCGGUCUCUAGUCACCAAUUCUCUAUGGCUGAAACCUUGUUGAAUUUCAGUUUCUGAUUAAGAUCCUUGUACUUUGUACACAUUAACAUUUUACUAUUCACAUAUUUCCAUGUCAGCUUUUUCUUUUUUGUCUUUUCCCUAUGUUAAAAAUUUAAAAUAAAAUGUUGAUAUGACUUAAUCAUAACCGUUUAAAUAAGAGGGGAAGGAAAGAGAGGGGAGAUAAUCUCCUUGUAAAACUGCUUGAAUAAUUCUUUUUACCUUUAUGGUAGGGCUGGGCAUUAAAAAAAAAUACCAAUUGAGUCGCACCAAAGGUUUGGUUUGGUUACUUUUUUUUUUUUUUUUUUUAAAUUUUCCUGGUUAAACCAAACUGCACUGAUCUUUAUCGGUUUGGCAAUCGUUUCUCAAAAUUCUUAGGGCGUGGUUAACCAAAUCGACCAACAUAUAUUAAUUUUAUUUUUUAGUCAUAAUUAAUAUGUAUAGUAAUAAAAAAAUGUUAGUUAUUUACGAGUUACAAUGUUUUCAUCACAUAAAAACAAAAUCUAUUUAAUUUAAUAGUCCCUUUGGAGAAGAACAUGGGCACCAUUUGGAGAACCCUGCAGCUGCUGCUUUAAUGCUCUCCUUGAGCUGCUUCAUUUGUGUUUUUCUUUAAGCAAUCACUCGUAUUAUUGUUAUAUUAUGUAACUUUUAAAAGAUAAAUUUAUUAUGUAUUUUUGUCUUCCACACAAACUAAAAACCAAUCCAAACUAACCUACCAUAUUCAAUUAACCGACCUGAUUAAUUUUAAAUCUAAUUUGAUCGGUUUCAGUUUGGAAUCCAAACAAACCCGCGUCCACCCCUACAUUACGAGGCUUAAAAGCCACCGUGAGGAGCAAUCAUUCUGCAUUGGGCACGUUUUCUUUGUUAGCAUUUAUGGAGACUGCAAAACCAACUUUUGGCACGAACUAUGUAAUCGGGUAAACAUAAUGUGAACGCAGACAUAAAUACCAGAAUAUUUUUGCAGUCAAUGCUUAAUGGGGCUUUAAAAGGCCACGCGUGAUGGGGUCCAAUCUUAAAUGCAAACAUAAAUACGAAAAGAAUUUGAAUACCAGAAGAAGAAGAUUUGCAGUCAAUGGGGCUUAAAAACUUAUCAAACCGAAUUUUUGUUUUAUUAUUUAAAUAAAGUUUAAAUGAUUAUAAUUAUUUAAAAAAUGCUGAAAUAAAUUUUUAUUGAUUGAAAUGUUAGUAAAACAAGCGAUCUACCAUUAAAAUGAAUUAAAAAUCAAUUUAACAUUGAUAUCUAAUUUGAUUUUAAAUCACAAAGCUUUCAAAUCCAAUAAGCAAAUAAUACUUUGGUUGGAAAAACUUUUGAUGUCAAAUAUUUACAGUAGCAUUCUACCUUCACUAGUAGAAAAAACACUAUGCGCGACGGAAACUUGCGCGACGCAGCUAAAUUACGUCCCGCAAAAUUAUUUUGCGCGACGGAGACCGACGUCGCGCAACCUGCCGUCACGCAAAGGCCGUUUGCGCGACGUUUUGUGCGUCCCGCAAGAUUUUGGCGCCAAAUCUAGAUAGCUUUGCCCAUUUUUUCAUUGACUUUGCGCAACGCAAGGCCACCUACGUCACGCAAAACAGCUUUGAGUGACGCAUGUUCACCUAUGUCACGCAAAACAGUUUUGCGCGACGCCGUCACGUAGGUGGCCUUGCGUCGCGCAAAGUCAACGACCUUUUCUUACUUCACUUAAUCAGUUUGGGAGGUAGAAACUGCAAACUAGUUGCAGCAGCUACCUCCCUCCCUCCUCUCUCUUCAAAACGAUAGAUUUACUAACACUUAGAGUUUAAUUAUAUUUUCAUUAAGUAUAACUUAAGAUUUUGUGGUAUCCACUUGUGUAAAUACUUUAAAUUGACGAUCGAAUUAGUUCAUUGUAUUCAUAUAUGGUCAAGGAGUGUAUAUGUAAAAAAUCAUCAAAAUCGGAGUUAAAACUACCGUUAAAUCGUGAUUUUUGGUUUUAACCGUCGAAAUGUUUUGUCCUGUUACUUGAUCUCUGCAUGUUCGUUUUUUGCCAUUUUUGGCGUAUGAGAUCUUGAAGCAUAUAAAAACAAGUUUGACGGUUGGAUCGUUGAAAUUAAUUUCGUACAAUGGGUUUCCCAUCAAAAUGAUUAAUUUACUAACACUUGAGUUUAAUUAUAUUUUCAUUAAGUAUAACUUAAGAUUUUGGGGUAUCCACUUGUGUAAAUACUUUAAAUUGACGAUCGAAUUAGUUCACUGUAUUCAUAUAGGGUCAAGGAGUGUAUCUGUAAAAAAUCAUCAAAAUCGGAGUUAAAACUACCGUUAAAUCGUGAUUUUUCGUUGAUAACCGUCGAAAUGUUUUGUCUUGUUACUUGAUCUCUGCAUGUUCGUGUUUUGCCAUUUUUGGCGUAUGAGAUCUUGAAGCAAAUAAAAACAAGUUUGACGGUUGGAUCGUUGAAAUUAAUUUCGUACAAUGCGUUUCCCAUCAAAACGCUUGAUUUACUAACACUUAAGAGUUUAACUAUAUUUUCAUUAAGUAUAACUAAAGAUUUUGUGGUAUCCACUUGUGUAAAUACUUUAAAUUGACGAUCGAACUAGUUCAUUGUAUUCAUGUAGGGUCAAGGAGUGUAUCUGUAAAAAAAUCAUCAAAAUCGGAGUUAAAACUACCGUUAAGUCGUGAUUUUUCGUUUAUAACCGUCGAAAUUUUUUGUACUGUUACUUGAUCUCUGCAUGUUCAUUUUUUGCCAUUUUUGGCGUAUGAGAUCUUGAAGCAUAUAAAAACAAAUUUGACGGUUAGAUCGUUUAAAUUAAUUUCGUACAAUGCGUUUCCCAUCAAAACGAGUGAUUUACUAACACUUAGUUUAAUUAUAUUUUCAUUAAGUAUAACUUAAGAUUUUGUGGUAUCCACUUGUGUAAAUACUUUAAAUCAACGAUCGAAUUAGUUCAUUGUAUUCAUAUAGGGUGAAGGAGUGUAUUUGUAAAAAAUCAUCAAAAUCAGAGUUAAAACUACCGUUAAAUCGUGAUUUUUCGUUUAUAACCGUCAAAAUUUUUUGUCUUGUUACUUAAUCUCUGCAUUUUCGUUUUUUUGCCAUUUUUGACGUAUGAGAUCUUGAAGCAUAUAAAAACAAGUUUGACGGUUGGAUCAUUGAAAUUAAUUUUGUACAAUGCGUUUCCCAUCAAAACGAGUGAUUUACUAACACUUCGAGUUUAAUUAUAUUUUCAUUAUGUAUAACUUAAGAUUUUGUGGUAUCCACUUGUGUAAAUACUUUAAAUUGACGAUUGAAUUAGUUUAUUGUAUUCAUAUAGGGUCAAGGAGUGUAUCUGUAAAAAAUCAUCAAAAUCGGAGUUAAAACUACCGUUAAAUCAUGAUUUUUCGUUUAUAACCGUCGAAAUAUUUUGUCCUGUUACUUGAUCUCUGCAUGUUCGUUUUUUGCCAUUUUUGGCAAAUGAGAUCUUGAAGCAAAUAAAAACAAGUUUGACGGUUGGAUAGUUGAAAUUAAUUUCGUACAAUGCGUUUCCCAUCAAAACGCUUGAUUUACUAACACUUAAGAGUUUAAUUAUAUUUUCAUUAAGUAUAACUAAAGAUUUUGUGGUAUCCACUUGUGUAAAUACUUUAAAUUGACUAUCGAACUAGUUCAUUGUAUUCAUAUAGGGUCAAGGAGUGUAUAUGUAAAAAAUCAUCAAAAUCGGAGUUAAAACUACUAUUAAAUCGUGAUUUUUCGUUUAUAACCGUCGAAAUGUUUUGUCCAGUUACUUGAUCUCUGCAUGUUCGUUGUUUGCCAUUUUUGGCGUAUGAGAUCUUGAAGCAUAUAAAAACAAGUUUGACAGUUGGAUUGUUGAAAUUAAUUUCGUACAAUGCGUUUCCCAUCAAAACGAGUGAUUUACUAACACUUAAGAGUUUAAUUAUAUUUUCAUUAAGUAUAACUUAAGCUUUUGUGGUAUCCACUUGUGUAAAUACUUUAAAUCGAUGAUCGAAUAUGUUCAUUGUAUUCAUAUAGGGUGAAUGAUUGUAUCUGUAAAAAAUCAUCAAAAUUGGAGUGAAAACUACCUUUAAAUCGUGAGUUUUUCGUUUAUAACUGUCAAAAUUUUUUGUCUUGUUACUUGAUCUCUGCAUGUUCGUUAUUUGCUAUUUUUGGCGUAUGAGAUCCUUAAGAAUAUAAAACAAGUUUGACGGUUGGAUCGUUGAAAUUAAUUUCAUAAAAUGCGUUUCCCAUCAAAACUAUUGAUUUACUAACACUUAGAGUUUAAUUAUAUUUUCAUUAAGUAUAACUUAAGAUUUUUUGGUAUCCACUUGUGCAAAUACUUUAAAUUGACGAUCGAAUUAGUUAAUUGUAUUCAUAUAGGGUCAAUGAGUGUAUCUGUAAAAAAAUCAUCAAAGGCUGUUUGCACGACGUUUUGUGCGUCCCGCAUGAUUUUGGUGCCAAAUCUAGAUAGCUUUGCCGCUUUUUUCGUUGACUUUGCGCGACGCAAGGCCACCUCCGACCUCCCAGCCACUUCAUCCAGCUGAUACCUAGCAGUUUGAUGUAUCAAACCUAGAAGACUACUUAUUGUAGUUUUUUCUUUUUUUGUUCGGACAUUCUGUAUGUACAUUUUCAUAUAGUUUAUAAUUAAAUACUUUUUAUUGGUUUAUUAUUUAUUUUUUAGAAUUGAAUUACAAUAUUUAUUAAAAAUUAAAUCAAAACUUUUUUUGUCCUAAAAAAAAAAAAAAAAAGUUUGCGUUGCGUGACGCACAAUCCCUAUGUUGCGCAAUUUUUUUGUCCCCAAAAAAAAAAAAGUUUGUGUGACGAAUAAGUUGCAUAGGUCGUGCAAAGUGUCUUUGCGUGACGCACAAUCCUACGUCGCGCAAGGUGGGUUUGCGCGAUGUAUAAUGGUGUGUCGCGCAAAGACACUUUGCGUGACGUAGGAUUGUGCGUCACACAAAGACACUUUGCGUGAUGUAGGAUUGUGCGUCGUUCAAACCCACUUUGCGCGACGUAGGAUUGUGCGUCGUUCAAACCCACUUUGCGCGUGACGAAGGUUCGUCGCACAAAUUUUUGCGCGACCUUUUUUGACUUUGCGCGACGAAGGACCUACGUCACGCAAAGUAUUUUUUGUACUAGUGCUUGGACUUUGGCAUCCCCUUUGGAAUGCGUGGUGGGUACAAUCUUAUUGCAUUGGGUACUUUUUUAUAUGGUGACUUCACAAUUAGCUUUUCAAUGGCAGACUUUGAAGUGAGUUCGUGUUUGUAGUAAAGAUACAGAGGACUUGUUCAGUUACAGACUUUGAAGUUUAUUUUUAUUCAGACUUUAUGGUUCAUGAAGUCUUUCUUGCCUAUAAACUAUAAAAGAAACGGAAUUUUAACUACAUCGUUCUCCAAUUAUUUUGACUGUGAUAAUGAGUGAUAAAGGUAAUUUAUAAAUUAAAUUUUUAAUAAACAAAAUUAAAAAAUGAUGGAAAUAUGUGAAUAGUAAGUGCUGAUGUGUACAAAGAACUUGACCAAAAACAUCAGUCAAAGAACUCUAAUAAUGUCCCGGUGGAGAAUGCUUAGAGAUUGACCAGAGUAGUUGUGCUUAAUAUACAUAUAUGCCAUAAAAAUAAAAAUAAAAUGUCGGUUAUGAUAAGUCAAGUUAGUCAGCCGGAAAAGGAGCUUUGCUGCAUGUUUCUAUUGAGACAGAUGCCAAAUCAUUCAAACAAGUCACUGAUUAGUCAUAACUGUAACCAAUUAGAUAUGGUAUUUGUGUAAUUAGAUUUAGAAACUAAGGGCACUAGUGUAGCUAGACUGUGGCUAUAUAUAUCAUCUUUAUUUGUUGUAAUUAUUUAAUGUGAAUGAAAAAUCAGUUUCUAUAUAGAUCAAGCCAACGUCGAUGGCUCUGUUUGACCUCCAUUUAUAUAAAAAAGAGUGAUAUUGAUUCCAAUGUUAAUUAUGUUCUACUACGUACCAACUCUAACUCACCAGCAAGUCAUCAAGAAUUAAUGUUCAAUUCUUCUGAUUCCUCUUGUGGCAAACAAGACUUUUGGAUCAAUUCUGGAAUUAAUGUGGUAUUGCAUGCAUAUUCCACACAGACAUAGUGCUCGAAAGGUCAAAGCGUAAAUCAGUGCAUGUUACUGUUAGGGCUUAUCAGUGAUGAUGCAGACUACGUACUGCUGCAGACUCCUUCCUUCCACAGUUGUGUGAAUCUGACCAUUUCAUGUCCUUUUCAUCUAAAGUUGCAAAGUGACAUUUUGUCAAAUUCUUUUGGAAAAGCACUAGGUUUUUUUUUUUUUUUUGGCGAAGGGCAAUGGCUAUUUUGAAUUACACAUUAUUUUGGAGUAUGCUCCCCUGACUCUAAAUAAUUAGUCACGAUGCGCUCAUCUGUAUACCAACAUGAGUUUGAGGAGUGCAAAACGAAAGUUUCAAGUACCAUUUUGUCCAAUUCUUAAGGAAAUCAUCAACUAUUUUAAAUUAUAUUUUAGAGACUCAAAUAAGUCAUCAUGCUCUCACAUGUUAUACCAACAUAAAGUAAUGCUAAGAUCAUCUCUAACCAAUGGGAUAAAGUUUAAAAUAUAAACUUUAAAACCCCCCAAAUCAUCUCCAACCAUUAGGCUAAAAUACGCUAUGGGGAGAAAAUAUAUCUUUAGGUUAGAUUCCCCCAUGAUUUAAGUUUGGCUUAAAUUAUUCUAAACUCACCACACUGUCAUAUUUCAAGCUUGUUUUUGUUUUUUUGUUUUUUGUUUACUUAUAAUCUAACGGCUGUGAUCAAAUAACAUCAAAUCUAACGGUAAAAAAAAAUUUUGACAACCCAAAAUUAAAUCUAACGUCUAAAAUAAUGUAAGAAAAUUAUUUAAAUAAAAUUUCACUUAAAACUUUAUAAAUAACUAUGUAUUUAUGUGAUUUUUAAUUAAGAUUAAAAUGUUCAUAAAAUAAUUAGGAUAAUCUACAUAAAUUUUAUUUUAAAAAAAGUUACCCAAAAAAAAGGCUAAAAUCAUUAUUUAAUAAUCUCAAGCUAAAAUUUUAAGCCAUAAAGAUUAGGAAAAAACAGUUUCUGAGUUAUAGCUUAAAAUUUUUUGACUUAAAUUUUUAAACUUUAUCCUCAAGGUUGGAGAUGAUCUAAGGAGGCUAAAAUUUUAAACUAAAUUAACUAAAUUAAUGAUAUGGUAGUGAUGAUUUGAUUAUUAAUUAAGUGUUGAUAACAUGCUUAUUUUUUAUUGGUGACACAUUUGGUUUGCAAAUUUAACCAAAUAUGUAGACCAAAUUUUAUGAAUCAAAUGACAUGGGAAGUUGAUAAGUAUUGAUUAACGUGUUUAUUUUUUAUUAGUGAUACAUCACAAUUUUAUGAACCAAAAAUGCAGAAUAAUUUUUUUAAGUACCAAUCAUAAUUUCUCUAGGUACAAUUAUAUAUGUAUCAUAUAUUGUAGAGCUAGCACAUCAAUAUAUAACUAGAGUUUGAAAUAGAUAAUUAGAUAUAUAUUUACAGUGUAGUCGAUAUCAUGUUAUUUUGCGCGGAAAUUAUAUUGAAAGAGAUGGAUGCAUGGAUAGCGACGGGAGAAAGGCAGGUGGUACUAUAAACACGUGAGCUGUAGUCUAUGGAUAUCAAAGACGAAAAUUAAGAGAGAAAAGCAAAAGGAGACAGGGGCAGGUGGUACUAUUGUCUGGUCUGUAUGCACUCCACAGGUUCCAAGUCCAGUCCAGGGCAGCUGGGAAUAGCAAGAUCGAGAUAUCAGAUAUGGCCAAAGUGCCGCAGUCCUUGUGGAAAUUAAGAUGGAUAUCUGAGUGAAUUUGAAGUUGGAAUAAUAUAUAAUUAGAUAGAUGCAUGGCUAGGUCUCGAUAAAGAAUGCAUUUGAAAAGUCCGGUCAGAACAUAUUUAUUUUCUUUUUCUGGCUUCCUAAAUGUGCAUUUAGUGUGAAAUUCCCCUUCUGAUUUCUGACCACCACCUUCAUUAGCCAAAUGGUUCCUUCCUGAUAUGACUACUUGGAGUAAUAUUUCAAUAUGAUUAUAAUACGGUUGGUAUACGACAUGUUUUAAUAUAAGUGGUGAAAACAUUUAUUUUUUAAGUUAUUAAUUUUUUAACGUACACAUAUCCCAUCAUUUAUAUAGUGAUGCGUGGUAUACCAUCACGUGUUCCAGUCACACCGAAAAAUCUCUCGGCUACUUGACUCCUAAUAGGCAACUAAAGCAAACCCUACCAGGCUAAUAGGUAAGAAAACCAAAUUUUUAUUCUACAAAACUCUAGACUUGUCCAACAAGAACACCCAUAAGAUAACAAAAUACCCUAACAAAAUAAUAAACCAAACAACUAACUAAUUAAAUUCCCAUAACAAUCCACUUAAUUUUUUUUCUUGCACUUUUAUGAGUCAGUCCAAUUUUUGUCUCCUUUUGUAGUUUUAUAUAAAGGAAAAUUAAUUAAAAGGGCUUGAAAACUUUGAGUUUUAAUGAUAAGGACAAAAUAAAGGGUAAAAUGAAUAGUACCAGGAUUGAUUUUUUAGUGUAAAAAUGUGGUUUUUCGUUAAAAUGAACAGUACCGGAUGCUUUUCGUUAAAAUUCCCCUUAUAUAAAUGUCGAUUUCUCUUUUUCCCAAAAUCCAUUUUUGAAUAGUUUAAGCCAAAGGUUUGGGUUGCAAGUAAAUGCCUAAUUUGUCUUCUUUAAGCCUUAUUGAGUUCGGCCCCAAACAAGUAUUGGUGAACCGAUUACGUUCGUUCGAAAUUUUAUGAUUAGAUUAUAAUGUUUGGAAUUAGCCAAACCGCAACGUGCAAAUUAUUUGCGAUUUAGAUACAAAUUCGAAACAACACAAAUCGCGCUCAGCCACCAGUCGAGACCAAUAACAUAUACCUAAUAAGAAUAUGGUGGUAAUUUUACUUACUUAAAAUAUCAAAAUAAAAACAAAAGUCUUCCACAUUUUUCUCCUCUCUUUUCCCCAUUUUUCUUUCAUAUGCAUAGUACCUGAUAAUAUAUAUAAUUCAUCCAAGAACUUGCAUGGCAAGUCUUACUAUGGACUUCUGUUAAAGAGACCAUAUGAAUCGUGUAUCUGCAUGAAAUCAAUUAAAAUAUCUAUAAUGUCGUCCCAGUAUAAACCAGUUGAGUCAUGGCUAAGAAAUUAACACUUAAAUAUCGAGUCAAAGGUAGCUUUGAAAAUGCUAUGCAAUUUCAUUAAACUGUUUGAAGUUGGAACAGAAAUUGUCAACCAAAUACUCCAGGUGUGUAUCUGACUAGUUGGUUUAAGAGUCACAAAAGAUUCAUGCGUUUGGAUUACUAUAUUUUAAUACAUUUCCAGUUUGCUUGUCGCUUAACUUUAGCGUGAUAAAGAAGGGUAAGACAUAGACCCCCACUUAAUUUCGAUUAGUUUCCACUUCGCUUUUGGCUUAACUUCGCCAAAUAUACAGAAAAUACAUUCUUUCCGUACGAAAUAUUGAAAAAAUCACCCCAAUUAAGCCUAUCUUAGUUGUUGGUUAAAAGAUUAGUUUGAUCGUUUUCAAGAGAGACGUGUUGUCGUUAAUUUAUUUUCUAAUUCUGUAUAUUCUUUAUGGUAGAUUUCAGUCAUGUUACCUCAUUUCCUAUUAGUUUCUUGUUCAAUUCUUGGAUGUUUCCUUCUGCACCUAUUGCAUUGGACUUUCUAUAUUGAAGUAAGAGGGCCAAACCGUCUAGUAUUUUUUUUAACCUACCUUAAAUACGACCACAUGACGUUAUUAUUCAACUCAAGUUUAUAACACUUUAAAUUUUUUGUACUACUAUACUUUAGAAAUGUGACAUAUCAACUUUGUCAUCCACUCAUAUCAUAACACAUAAAAUAGUAUAACAUGUGAAACUAUCCAAACCAUCAAUCAACGACUUUUACAUUUUCACUAAGUAAAAAGUAUAGAUAAUUUACAUUCUUCUUUUUACAAUUAAGAUAAUAUUCUAUAUGCAUUGAACCUAAAAUUUACUUAUCAACCCAUACCCCACGGCUGGAAUUCUCUCUUAAAAUAACAAGUUUAAAAUAGUUAAUCUAAUACAAUUAGACUUUUAUUAACAUAUACCUAAACUAACUAGUGAAAGCAAGUGUAUGAUCUUGAGAUUAUCUAGCUAGUUUAGCUCCAUGCAUAUAAAAUUCUAUCUGUUUGUUUAAUUUAUGUGCCCGUAUAUGCAUGGAUGCCUACUCCAUAACACAAAUAUCCAAAUUAAGCUGCAUUCAAUUGUUUGGUGGAUCUUACUCAAAAGUUACACGGACAUCAUUAUUAAAUUGUUUGGCAUGGAUCAUUACCUCAAAUUGUUUCGUGGAUUAUGUUGCAUCAAAUUGUUUGGUGGAUCAUUAGUACUUAAAUUGUUUGAGAUGUACUCUAGGGAUUAAUUUUAUCCUGCAAGUACUACUUAAUCAAAGGGAUUUAAUGUAGGUUAUAAAUAAUACAUGCAUGAACAUAUGUAUAAAUAUGACUAAAAUCGUACUUUUUAUAUAUACGACAUGCAUGUCAAUUAAAGAUUUUAUUCAAGCUCUGUAUCAUCACAUAUGUCUCCUAAAAUUUAGUUGUAAACAUGAUCAACAUAUAUAAAAAUAAGGUGAUCUUCUUAGUGUUUUCAAUAAUAUACGUAAGAUUUAGUUGAGACUAGCCUCCCCACACGCCUACAUGUUUGGCAAUUUACUUUAUUUUAUAUUUUUUAUAUUUUAUGUAUAGAUUUAAAAAACUGAAUUUACAUGUAUUUAAACAAAUAAAAAUAGUUAUAUCAGUAAUAUACUCCCUCUUGUACGUGAGAUAGUUUUAUUUUGUAUUUUUUUUACAGUUUUUUCCCUUUUUAAUUAAAUUACAUUCUUUAAAAAUUAAAAAGGGGGCUUUUAGACAUUUUGAAAGUUUCACAUUUUUGCCUUCAACUUUGCCACACGCCUACGCGUGUGACAAUUGAAUUUUUUUUAUUGUUUGAGUUUUAGUUAUUUUAGAUUUUUUUUUAAAAAAAAAUUGUAACUGGAGAAUGGCAAUUUGGGUAUUAUGAAAGCUUCACCAUUUUUCCUUCUCCCUAUGUAUAUAUAUAGAUAAAUGAUUCUUAUUAUACAUUGAAAACAAUCGCAUCAUCACGCCAAGAAUUUUUUGUGUACCUGAAACACUUAUCACAUCAUGUAUCUUUCUGUGUUAUGACAUGGGUGAUAAGUUUGAUCUGUCUCACUUGUAAAGUUUGUAAUUAAUUAAAAAAUAAUACAUGUGUUACAAUUUACGUGUGACUAUAAUAUCACGUGACGAUGUUCCAUCUCACACAACUUCAUACAAUCACUAUUUUUUAAUGUCAAUUUGCAUGAAAUAAUUAGGAUAUUAUAAGUGUUUGAAUGCUCAAAGGUAUUCAACAGAACUACAUAAUUUGAUCAACAAAUGUAAACGAACCAUGAAGAGGAAGGUUCCCGUCCAUGACUUACCAAUUUCGCGUAACAUGUACUAGCUAGAGAAAUGACUGUGAACCACGAUCGAAAUUUGACCCUAGCAAAGCCUUUUAGACUUGAAAUUCAAUUUCACGUGCUUCCAUCAUAUAUGACGACCCUCUCAUGCAGCCCUGGACCUCCACUAUAAAUACGAUCUGCUCUCACAUUGUUUUAGCAACCAAGCAAAUCGAUAGUAUACAAAUAUACCACCCUCAUUCUAAAACCAUCUCUUUUUCCAAUCGGCUCUCCUAACCCUUUAUUAGCUGUCGCUAAAAAAAUUUAUGGCUCCAAUAGUCUCAAAACUUGGCAUCAUUGGUGCCGGUGUAAGUGGCAUAGCAGCAGCUAAACAACUAGCCCAUUACAACCCUAUUAUUCUCGAGGCCUCUGACUCCAUUGGAGGGGUUUGGAGGCAUUGUUCUUACAGUUCCACAAAACUUCAGUCCCAUCGAUGUGACUAUGAGUUCUCUGACUUCCCUUGGCCUGACAGGGACAACACUGAAUAUCCUUCUCACCUUGAGAUAUUGGCCUACUUGAACUCUUAUGCUGAGCACUUUGAUGUGCUUAAGUUUGUCAGGUUCAAUUCCAAGGUGGUCGAGGUCCGGUUCAUUGGUGACCGAGAAAACAUUGAAUUUGGUGUCAAACCUGUGGAGUAUCGGAGUCUCUCGCCAGCUGGCGGUCAGCCUGUUUGGGAAGUUGCUGUCCAGACUAAUGAUUCAGAGACCAUUCAGGUUAGUCAAUUGCUUCAUAUCCGAAUGGUAUUUUAGGACAAUUUCAUGCAUGCCUAGGGUUCGCACAUCACUUCUUACAAUAUGUUUGUGGAAAUGGAACUCUCGGAUUAAUUACCAGAGUCUUAUAGGAAUAUAUAGAUGCAAAUAUGUUACAAAUAUUACUUUUAAUGAUUUGUAAUCAAAUUAAUGUUAAUCAAUAAAAUUAUUUGAACAUGCAAAUUACCACAAUUACGAACACUAUCCGAUAGAGGUGGACCAUACCACUGUAUUAGAUAGUGUACCAGCAAGUAAGAUGCAGUGAGAUGAUACCUAUUUCCUGCAAUUCAAAUGAUCGAUCCAUACGAGUUAUUAUCUUGGAUAUGUUAAAAUUAAGUUCUGAUUUUUAAUUUUUUUUGUUUGAAUUAAUUCAGUGGUACGCCUUCGAGUUCAUUGUGGUUUGCAUAGGGAAAUAUGGUGAUACACCCAAAAUUCCAGAGUUUCCACACAACAAAGGCCCUGAAGUAUUUCAAGGCCAAGCUCUUCAUGCUCUUGAUUACUGCAAACUGGACAAGGACGCUGCUUCUCAAUUACUAAAGGAUAAGAAAGUCGUUGUAGUUGGCUACAAAAAAUCAGCUAUUGAUUUAGCUGUCGAGUGUGCGGAGGCAAACCAAGGUAAAAGUUUGGUCCUCAAAUUUCUUACAUAUAUGGUGAAAUCUUAGGGUAAAAAUAGGUCUACAUUUCCACGUUACGGGGUUGUAAUUUGCCUGGUUACACACAGCAGAAAGAAAUUCAAGAAUUGAAAAAUAUGAAUUGCAUGGUCAUGGAAUCAAAAGAGCUGACCAAUAUAUAUAUGAUGCGUUUUGACUUCUUUUUUUUUUUGACUAAUGCUUUUUGACUUCUUUGACUGCACAUGUUUUUCAACAAAUCACAUGAAUUGAAUUACGUACAAACCAUUAGAUUUGACACUAUAAAUGUUUAUUAAAUGUUAAUUACGUACAAACCCUUAGAUUCAUAAAUAUUAAUUAUUAAUCAAUUAUUUACUAAUCAUCAACGGCCAUGCAUUCUUCACGUCACUCACAAAUUAUCCGUGUAUAAGAGAUUUGAAAUUUCGCAAUACAUGAAGAGGCCGUGUGAAUAUGUAAUAAAAAUAGUUUCAUACAAAAAAAAAGAAAAAAAGAACCUUGCAAAGACUUAGAAGGAGUUUUUUCAACGAUUCUAAAUCACAUGAAUUACCUACACACCAUAAGAUUUGACUUCAUAAAUGUUAAUUAUUAAUCAAUUAUUUGCUAAUCAACAAUCAUGCAUUCUUCAGGUCACUCAAUUAUAUUAUCUACGUUUAAGAGGUUUAAAAUUUCACGAUACAUGAAGGGACCAUGUGAAUAUGUGAAAAAGUUCCAUUAACAAAGUAAAAGAAUCUUGCAAAGACUUAAAAGGCGUUGUCACUUUCUCCGUUACCAAUUGUUUAUGGAAUUAAGACCUCGAUUUCUUACCUUUUAUGAGUCUUGAUUAUAUUGACCUGAAUUACUUAUGUUAUUCCUUUUAUGGAUGUAUUGCAGGACCAGAAGGCAAACCAUGCACGAUGGUAGUAAGGACUUUACAUUGGACUGUUCCCCAUUACUGGAUUUGGGGCUUGCCGUUUUUCUUGUUCUACUCUACAAGGUCUUCACAGUUUCUCCAUCAAAGACCUAACCAAACCUUCCUCAGAACCCUCCUUUGCUCUCUAAUUAUGUCUCCAAUGGUAAGUUAAAAAUAAUAAUUAAUCAGUUCAUAUCAAGAAAAGAAAUUAUUAAACUAAUACAUGAGAAGUGACUUAUGCACACUUUCUUCUCCCCAUACACACUUCCGGCCUUUGGAUUGAGUAAAUCCAAUGAGAAUCACGAGACAAGACUUAAAAGGGUGUGUAGAAGAAGAAGAAAAAAUGUGCGGGAAUCAUUUCCUUAAUAUAUAAGAGAUGAAUGCUUAAAGGUUUGGUUGUUAUUUACAGAGGCAUGCAGUUUCAAAAUUUAUUGAAUCAUAUUUGCUGUGGAAGAUGCCUUUGGAGAAGUAUGGACUAAAGCCAGAUCAUUCAUUUGAGGAGGACUAUGCAUCCUGCCAGAUGGCUAUCAUGCCGGAAAAUUUCUUCUCCGAGGCGGAUAAGGGAAAAAUUGUGUUCAAAAGAUCAACAUCAAAAUGGUGGUUUUCUGCUGAUGGAAUUGAAUUUGAUGACAACACUAAGAUAAAAGCUGAUGUUGUGGUCCUUGCAACUGGUUAUGAUGGUAAGAAAAAACUCAAAUUCAUCUUACCGGACCCUUUUCGCAGCUUGUUGGAGUAUCCUUCUGGUAUCAUACCCUUAUACAGGUAAACAUAGUUUUCGGAUUGGGAUUUUAAAAAUUUAUUAGUCUUAAAAAUGUUAAAAUUGGAGGGUAAAAUUUUUGAAUGCAUGUUUCUUCUGCAGGGGAACAAUUCAUCCUUUGAUCCCAAACAUGGCUUUCGUGGGUUAUCUCGAGAGUGUUUCAAAUCUUCACUCUUCUGAAUUGCGCAGCAUAUGGCUGGCCAGGCUGCUGGAUAAUAAAUUUAAGCUUCCAAGUGUGCAGAAAAUGCUUGAGCAAACAAGUAAGGAAGUGGAAAUCUCAAAGAAAACAACCAGGUUCUACAGGAGGCAUUGCAUUUCUACUUUUAGCAUCAACCACAGCGACGAAAUUUGCGAGGAGAUGGGAUGGACAUCUUGGAGGAAGAAUACUUGGUUGGCAGAAGCAUUUAGCCCAUAUGGAAGUCAAGACUAUCUGAAGAAACAUUGAACCUCCAGUUCGCGAUAACCUAUUAAGUUUAUAAUCGAGAGUUACAUAAGUACUAAGAAUAAAGAAACCCUAGCUCCUUACUGAAAAAAGUAAUGAAUUAUUGGGCCAUGUAUAAUCAAUUGUAAGACAUAUUCUGAAAUCACAACAACAAGACAUUGAGAUCACGAAUAAAUCAAAUCAAUAUAAAAUAGAGAUUGACUAAUUAUAUUAAACUUAUCUGUAGAAUACGGAAGAUAUGGUUAUGAAGAUGAAGUCAUUGAUCCUUGCAAACAAAGUGAAUAAAGUAGAACUAGUUUUCUACUUCCAGUACCUCUCAAUGAAUUCUACUUCGAAAUAGGCUUGUAGUUUUCGUGAGUUUCAGUUGGUAUGGAAGCAUGGACUAUUCUUAGGUUAUAUAGCUAGGGUUUCAACCAAUUCCUCCCUAUUAUCGGAAAGGAUAUCAACCCAAACUAUAUCUAAUCAAUUAGAGUCCCAUCAUGACUCUUAUUCCUCGUGUUUACUUAAUAAAGGCCCUUAAUUGAUUGCAUGUAAUUAGGACUCCAAUAUGCUUAUUUUCUUAAGGCACCAAGAGUCCUAGAGAUUUCAUUAACUUGAUUGACAAGUCAACUAUUCCCUCAAUUAUUCUAGGCAUAAUUCAUUGCCAUUCACAAAAUGGUUUUACAUUCUCCCACUUGAAUGUCAAUGAGAAUACCUCAACGAGAUAAAUAUAUAUGGUGAUCACUUGAGUCCACUAAAGUAUGCAAUCAUACAUUUCAAGUAACUUGUCACUUUGAGACAAAGUGCAGAACCAAAGAAAACAAGGGCCAAGGCACACAUUGGACAGUUCCUUGCACUCCAUGAUUACAUGCACACUUAACUCAAAGCACUAUGUUACUAACAAAGUCAUGAUAUCAAGAGCUAAUAGUCAAAACAUUAGCUCACAAUAGUCGAACUAAAAACAUGAAAAUAUAUUUCAGUACAAAAGUAGUUCACAAAAGAACUCAACAAGGUUGGUAACAACAUCCAACUUUUCUGUCAAUUUAGAAUACGAUAAGAGAACAAGUAAAAUACAACAUACUAUUUACAAAAUCAAGACCUCUUAUUAAAAUUUACUCUUAACAUAUCAGCCACUAACACUUCAAAUUUUUAACACAAAAGGUAAUCGCUUACUCCCACUGAUGAAUAGAGAUAAAAUUAUAUAGAUAAAUUAUUUUUACUCCCACUAAUUAAAAGAGUAAAACAAAACUUUGUAAAUGUCUACAAAAUAAAACAUAUACCUGUCAAAUACUCCCAUUAGCAAAACAUUAGUCAUGGGAUCUAGAACAUAAAAUUUGUGAGCUCAACAUCUUUAUUCUAAAUAUCUGUAGGGAAGUGACUCUUUGAUAGAAAUAGAAAACUUUAACUAAAUGUUUUCUUAUUGCAUCAAAAACAUAUUAUUACAUAAUCAUGUUUAGACAUAAACUAAUUAUAUUAGGUUUGCAUAGCUAAAACAUAAAAUACAAGGGCAAACGUAUAUAGCUUCAACACUUUUGAGCAAAUGAAGUAUUUACAAUCUUAUCCAGUUCAACUAUACAUUGAUUAUAGUUGAACUGGAUAAGAAAAUACUUUUGAGUAGAUUAAUUAUCCAUCAAUAACUUAUAAAUCACAAAUCCAAUUUCUUGAACAACAAACAAGAAUUAAUAAGCAAAACACUUUUGAGCAGAAUAUACUCAUUAACCCUUAUUGAAAUUCCUGCAAUAUUAGUUGCAUAUAUAACAAAUAAAAUAUAAACAAGCAUGAUAAUGUACGUUUUAUCUACCAAAACUAUGACCAUUAAAAGCAUGCAACAUUGAUGAGUGUGAAGCCCAUAAUACAUUAUUUCUCCCACUUGGGCAAACACUCAAAAUUGCAAGAUUAAACACUAGAGAAAGUGGUUUUCAUAUACCAAAAUAUAGGCUAGUUGAAUCAAUAAAGAUCAAAUACAUAAUUUUUUUUUAAAGUAGGUUAGAAUUAAAAAGUUCCAUAAAUAAAAACUUAUGCAAUGACUACAAAUUUUUAUUUUAUUUUAGUGUAUAAGAGGAGACUCACAUAUGUAUUAAAGAUUAGGUCAUAAAUUAAAAUAAAACCUAAUAAGAGAAUCCAAACUCAAAAUUUAUGUUUUAAUUCUAAAACAAGGUCAAUUAAAAUAAACACUUAGAUAUCUCAAUAACAUCAAUUUUCCAACAAUAAUUUUAAUCCAAUUUAGAACUCAGAGAAAAUUAAGGCAAAAGAUUGGCAAAUUUACCUACUCAUUCUCGAGAGAUUCAUCAUGGAAGUAGUUGAGUUGUGGAGGAUCGAACCAACUACAAAUUGCAUGAUUGUUACACCUUUGGGCAUAAACUAAUCAUGCAAAGAAAAUAUCAGCAUAGCUAGCCAAAACAUAAAAUACACAAAAUACAUAUAGCUUCAACAACUUUGGCCAGAUGAAAAUAUGUUAGAAGUACUUUAUGUUGCUAUAAUAUUAAUUUAUAGUUGGUAAAUGAUUUCUUGAAAUUCCCUUUGGGACAAAAAUAUUCACCAUAUAAAUUAGAAUUCUGAUUUUUUAAAAUAAUCCUUUAGAAUAGUAUUAAAUAACCGUUUUGUUGAAUAUUCAAUGAUUCUCAAAAGAUUCAAUCAGACACAAAAAUAUGUCUUUAUUGACAUUGAACAAUAGAGUUCUCGAAAGAGGAAACAUGGUUAUUCAGUUAUUCGAUAGGGACCAAAAUGAUCAAUUAGUAAACUGAUGUCACUUUCCAAUUUUCUCCCAAAAGACAAUUAUCAUCAUAAUUAGAAUUGAUGACCAAACAAAACAUUGGUUUAAGAAAAACAAACCAAUAAAUCUUUAAAUCAAAAUUUAAUCAGUGUUUUCUAAUAAAAGUCAUUAGUAUUGAUAAUUUGCAUAAAAUAAGGACAUAUUGGAACCAUAAACUUAUAUAAUAAUUGGUACCAAUAGCUGUGCACAAAUCAGUGAAACAAUAUCACAUAACAAAACUAGUUUUGAAGUACCAAAAUUCAGCAGUACUACUUUAGUUUGCAAAUUCACUAAAAACUCAAUUCUCUUUAUAUUGUAAUGAAAAUUUUUAGGUAUACACCAGACAUAUAUGGCUACUAUUUCAAAAAAAAAAUAUAAGCGAGCCAAAAAUUAAUUCAAAAAAGAGAGGUGCUGCAGAAACUACAGAAAAUGUUCAGUACAUACCUAAGAUUAAAAUUCACUUAAAAAUUCAUUUUUCAUCCAAUGUAUAUAAAAAUUUCAGAAAUGAGGUAAACAUAUUGAUCUAACAUAUUCCAAAAUUUCAUAAUUUUUGAGUUUUAACAACUGUACUAAAAGAAAAUUCGAAAUGGGAUGUGCUGCAGAAACGGAAAACAUUCUACAGUACAUACUCGAGACUAUAAUUCACCAAACAUUCAAUCUUCCUUCAAUAUGCAUGAAAAUUUUCAGAAAUGAAGUAGACAAAUAAAUGUACUGUUGCCCAAAAAUCCAUAAUUUGUUCGAUUUUACAAGUGGAUUAAAAAUAAAAUCGAAAAGGAUUGUGCUGCAGAAACUGCAUAAAUCUGCAGUACAGUCCCGAGGUAAAAAAUUCACCAAUAAUUCAUUUUCUCACCAAUGCUCGUGAAAAUUUCCAUAUUUAAAACAAACAUCUCAAUGUAUAUCAUACUCAAAUUUCAUGAAUUUAUGAGUUACAUAGGUCUAUCAAAAUAAUAUCACAAACAGACUAUUCUGCGGAAGUCUGUAGAAUUCCAGCAACAAGGUAUCACACUUAAAAAUUUACCAUAAAUCCAUUUCUUAUAAAAAAAAAUGGAAAUAUUGCCAGCGUCUACAAUCCAUUCGAUAUUACAAGAUGACAAAAUUUCAUAAUAUUUGGAGUUAUAAAGGUCUAUUAAGCCCAGGUUAUUGACAUGAAUAGUUUUCCUUAUGAGAAUUACCUCAAUUAUAUAGAACACUAAAAGUAAUAUUCAUUGCAAUAAUAGAAGCGACUAUCAUUUCAUAGAGAAAUAACCAAGAACCAAAACUUACUUAUUCAUUUGCAUAUGCACUAUAUGGAUAAGAGUCGAAAAAUGCAAAAUUGAAUUAAUCCAAAUUUGAGAAUUAAAAUAUAUAAUUAAUUCCUUUUAAUGAAACUUUAAUGGAGAAACUUUAAUGGAGACACGACUUUGGCUGUUGGUGACAAGAUUAUAAUCAUACCCCCAUAAUAAUUAUAGUUUGAAAAGAUUAUAAUUUAGCAUGAUUAAUUUUGACAAAAGUUUAGGCAAAAAUAAUUCACACCACAAUUGAAUUUCUUACAAAAUUGAAAACCCCAAUACGAACCCACUGAAAGCAAUUCAUAAUAAUGUAAUUAAUCACACAUCAGAAUUAUGACAGCAAGCAGUCCUUCGUAAUACAAUAAUUAUUUGUUUAUAUAUACGUACCUUGCCAAAUGGUUUCACCAAUCGGUUCAUCAAAAUCAAACAAAUUGGGAAUGCCUUUUAGAACAUGUUAAUUAACAAUAGUAAAUCCAAAUUUUAAAGCAUGAAAGCAUGAAAUCCAACACAAUAUUCAUCCUGAAACCUCACAUAUGCAAGGGUUAAUUCAAUAAUUUGACAGAAUCCUAACAAAGAACAGCCCAAAAUAUAAGCAAACUAACCAAAAUUUAAUUUUUUUUUAAAGGCUAGAUUUUGCAACGCAAUAAACAGAAGCGUAAAUUCUCAACUUAAUCAAUUUUGAGAUGGGGAAAUUAAAUAAGAAAAUAAAGGUUGAUUGCCCAGAAUCAACGACACCUUUAUCUAAUUCUCAAUUUAGUUGGAACCAAAAGCUUAAUUUUAACUCAACCAAAUUAGGUAGACUAAAUUGUGAGAUUUCAUAUCUUUUCAAAGAGAAUUCUUACUGAAAAACGCAGAAUAUAUCCAAAAAACCGUUGUUGAAGAGUUUUGUGAGAGAGAACUAAAAACCUCACACGUGAGGGAGAAGACCCCGUAUUGUUUCAACGCCAUAUCCCACCCUUUUUUUUAAUUAAUAAUAAUUAAAUAGAAUUAUUGCAUCUAAAUCGAUAAUAAGAGGAUUAUAUAAUAAAUCCAAAUAUCAUCCAAGAUUAGGUUUGGGCAAACACCAUCAAAACCUGUAAUUAUUUUACAAAAAUUCUUGCAAUUCGAAAAGAAACCAUGUCAUAAUGCAAUUCGAAACGAAAUUUUCUUUUCACUGUGAUGUACGAAAACAAUACUGACCUUGAUUAUAUACAUGCUUUUAUUCUUCCACAAAAUAUAAACAUAAUAAACUUAGUUAUUACGCGAAUUGAUACAAAAUUAUGGAAGCAUGUUAACUGAUUUCAUAGGAUCAAAGAGUAGAAAACAUCCAACCAAAACAAUAUUAUGUAGGCAAACAACUACCUUUAAUUAACCCGAACCCUAAGCUUGUUGUGUGGCUCUGAUACCACAUGUAAGACAUAUUAUGAAAUCACAACAACAAGACAUUAUGAUCACGAAUAAAUCAAAUCAAUAUAAAAUAGAGAUUGACUAAUUAUAUUAAACUUACCUAUAGAAUAUGGAAGACAUGGUUAUGAAGAUGAAGCCAUUGAUCCUUGCGAACAAAGUGAAUAAAUUAGAAGUAGUUUUCUACUUUCGUGAGUUUUAGUUGGUUUGGAAGCAAGGACUAUUCUUAGGUUAUAUAGAUAGGGUUUCAACCAAUUCCUCCCUAUUAUCGGAAAUGAUAUCAACCCAAACCAUCUAAUCAAUUAGAGUCCCAUCAUGACUCUUAUUCCUCUUAUUUACUUAAUAAAGGCCCUUAAUUGAUUGCAUGUAAUUAGGACUCCAAUAUGCUUAUUUCCUUAAGGCAACGAGAAUCCUAGAGAUUUCAUUAACUUGAUUGCCAAGUCAACUAUUCCCUCAAUUAUUCUCGGCAUAAUUUCCCACAAAAUGGUUUUACAAUAAUUUCUCCAUUGUUUACUUGUGAAAUUCCCACAAAAUUAUGAGCUGCUCGCAAAGUUGCCAACUAAUUCACGUAUACAAAAAAUAACUGAUUGUUAUAAGUUAUAACCCUAUUUUGUGGAGAUGUAAUGUCACAUCCCAGUCCGCAUAAUAAGAUAUUGUCCGUUUUGGGCUACGCCCUCACAGAUUUGUUCUUGGGUUUCGGCACGAGAACUUCCCAGUGAGUCACCCAUCCUAGGACUGCUCUCACCCAAACUCACUUAACUUCGGAGUUCUUAUGGGAUCCAGUGCCAGUGAGUUCCAAAACGCGUCGUGCAAUGGAAGGUGAGCAUGUACAUAUAAGGCAUAGAAGAUCCUCUCUCCUGGGUGAUGUAGGACACUACAUGUAACACACAGAUGGAAAAACAAGUAGCUAAAAACCAUGAGAGCUUUCGAAGUAGUUUGAGCUAGAGUUUCUUCGAUAUGAUUCUCAGGCUGGAACUGGUUGGUUUAGAUGAGUUGAACCAAACCAUUUUUGUCCAGAACACGUUUGUCUCCCAGGCAAUGUCCCCAGCACAUCCGAUUACCCUCAUCGCGUGCAAACAUUUAAAAUCAUAAUCAACCUCAAACAUGAUUUGUAGUGGUUAUGCAUUCAAGGCAUAGUGCGAGAUUACCAUACAACAUUCUCAAGCUAUUGAAGGGUUUAUUAUGUGUUUAAAUCGUAGUCCCCCUCCGGUGCCUUCUCUUUCUAGGGCUCUACCGACUGCUGAGACUUCUCCUAAGCAACUUUUGUGAAGGCUUCCUCUUGUUUGUUUAUUUUGACUCAUGUAUAUGUACAUAUUUGUAACUUAUCGGAGAUAUCAAUAAAUAAGCUUUGCUUCAUUUCAACGUACUGUGUUAAAUAUACCAAAGCCUUAUUCACUGAGUAGGGUCGGCUAUAUGAAUCUUAGAACGCCAUUAUGCUCGGUCCUGUGUCAUGUCCUCCGUUAGAUCCAAAUACGCUAAGUCUUUUCUUAGAGUCUCUUCCAAAGUUUUCCUAGGUCUUCCUCUACCCCUUCGGCCCUGAACCUUUGUCCCGUAGUCGCAUCUUCUAAUCGGAGCGUCAGUAGGCCUUCUUUGCACAUGUCCAAACCACCGUAACCCAUUUUCUCUCAAUUUUCCUACAAUUUCGGCUACUCCUAAUUUACCUCGGAUAUCCUCAUUCCUAAUCUUAUCCUUUCUCGUGUGUCCACACAUCCAACGAAGCAUCCUCAUCUCCGCUACACCCAUUUUGUGUACGUGUUGAUGCUUCACCGCCCAACAUUCUGUGCCAUACAGCAUCACCGGCCUUAUUGUCGUCCUAUAAAAUUUUUCCUUGAGCUUCAGUGGCAUACGGCGGUCACACAACACACCGGAUGCACUCUUCCACUUCAUCAAUCCAGCUUGUAUUCUAUGGUUGAGAUCUCCAUUUAAUUCUCCGUUCUUUUGCAAGAUAGAUCCUAAGUAGCAAAAACGAUCGCUCUUUGGUAUUUCCUGGUCUCCGGUCCUCACCCCUAACUCAUUUUGGCCUCCAUUUGCACUGAACUUGCACUCCAUAUAUUCUGUCUUUAAUCGGUUUAGGCGAAGACCUUUAGAUUCCAACACUUCUCUCCAAAGGUUAAGCUUCGCAUUUACCCCUUCCUGAGUUUCAUCUAUCAACACUAUAUCGUCUGCGAAAAGCAUACACCAAGGAAUAUCAUCUUGAAUAUGUCCUGUUAACUCAUCCAUUACCAAUGCAAAAAUGUAAGGACUUAAUGAUGAGCCUUGAUGUAAUCCUACAGUUAUGGGGAAGCUUUCGGUUUGUCCUUCAUGAGUUCUUAUGGCAGUCUUUGCUCCUUCAUACAUAUCCUUUAUAGCUUGGAUAUAUGCUACUCGUACUCAUUUCUUCUCUAAAAUCCUCCAAAGAAUGUCUCUUGGGACCCUAUCAUACGCUUUUUCCAAAUCUAUAAAGACCAUGUGUAAAUCCUUUUUCCCAUCUCUAUAUCUUUCCAUCAAUCUUCGUAAGAGAUAUAUUGCCUCCAUGGUUGAGCGCCCUGACAUGAACCCGAAUUGGUUGUCCGAAACCCGUGUCUCUUGCCUCAAUCUAUGCUCAAUGACUCUCUCCCAGAGCUUCAUUGUAUGACUCAUUAGCUUAAUACCCCUAUAGUUCAUGCAAUUUUGUAUGUCGCCCUUAUUCUUGUAGAUAGGCACCAAAAUGCUCUUUCGCCACUCAUUUGGCAUCUUCUUCGUUUUCAAAAUCCUAUUGAAAAGAUCAGUGAGCCAUGCUAUACCUGUCUUUCCCAAGACUUUCCACACUUCGAUCGGUAUAUCGUCUAGGCCCACUGCUUUUCUAUGCUUCAUCUUCUUCAAAGCUACAACCACUUCUUCCUUCCUGAUUCGACGAUAAAAGGAAUAGUUUCUACACUCUUCUGAGUUACUCAACUCCCCUAAAGAAGUAUUCCUUUCAUGUCCUUCAUUGAAAAGAUUAUGAAAAUAACAUCUCCAUCUGUCUUUGACCGCAUUCUCUGUAGCAAGAACAUUUCCAUCCUCAUCCUUGAUGCACCUUACUUGGUUUAAGUCCCUUGUCUUCUUUUCCCUUGCUCUAGCUAGUUUAUAGAUAUCCAACUCUCCUUCUUUGGUAUCUAGUCGCUUAUACAUGUCGUCAUAAGCUGCUAACUUAGCUUCUCUCACAACUUUCUUCGCCUCUUGCUUCGCUCUUCUAUACCUUUCACCAUUUUCAUCGGUCAUGUCCUUAUAUAAGGCUUUACAACAUUCCUUCUUAGCCUUCACCUUUGUUUGUACCUCCUCAUUCCACCACCAAGAUUCCUUUUGGUGUGGAGCAAAGCCCUUGGACUCUCAUAAUACCUCUUUUGCUACUUUUCGGAUACAACUAGCCAUGGAAUCCCACCUUUGGCUAGCUUCCCCCUCUUUAUCCCACCCACACUGGGUGAUUACUUUCUCUUUGAAAAUGAUUUGUUUUUCUCCUUUUAGAUUCCACCAUCUAGUCUUUGGGCACUUCCAAGUCUUGUUCUUUUUUCUCACUCUUUUGAUAUGUACAUCCAUCACCAACAAGCGAUGUUGAUUAGCCAAGCUCUCUCCCGGUAUAACUUUGCAAUCCUUACAAGUUAUACGAUCCCCUUUCCUCAUUAGAAGAAAAUCUAUUUGUGUUUUUGACGACCCACUCUUGUAGGUGAUCACAUGUUCUUCUCUCUUCUUAAAGAAGGUGUUGGCUAAGAAGAGAUCAUAUGCCAUUGCAAAAUCCAAGAUAGCUUCCCCAUCCUCGUUUCUCUCCCCAAAACCAUGGCCACCAUGAAAACCUCCAUAGUUGCCUGUCUCCCUGCCCAAGUGUCCAUUUAAAUCUCCUCCUAUAAAUAACUUCUCCGUCUGGGCAAAUCCUUGCACCAAGUCUCCAAGGUCUUCCCAAAAUUUCUCCUUCGAACUCGUAUCCAACCCUACUUGAGGUGCGUACGCACUAAUCACAUUGAUGAGUUCUUGUCCUAUUACAAUCUUAAUUGCCAUGAUUCUAUCUCCUACCCUCUUGACAUUUACAACAUCUUGUGUCAAGGUCUUGUCCACGAUGAUGCCAACACCGUUUCUCGUUCUAUUUGUGCCCGAAUACCAAAGUUUAAACCCUGAGUUUUCUAGAUCCUUUGCCUUAGGGCUAACCCACUUAGUUUCUUGUAGGCACAUAAUAUUUAUCCUUCUACUCACCAUAACUUCCACUACUUCCAUAGAUUUUCCUGUUAAGGUUCCUAUAUUCCACGUUCCUAAACGCAUUCUACUCUCUUGAACUCUACCCUUCUGUCCUAGCUUCUUCACCCUCCCCCGUCCCAUAGGAUCAAAGUUCUUCUUUUGUUUGUCCUGUGUAAAGUUGAUAGGAGCAUAUGCUCCCAAACAACUUUGAGUUGACUCGUUCGAAAAGAAGUUUUUAUGGCCCCCUUGCUCAUUUAACACUGCAUCCGGGUGCCGAUGGAGAUACAGCGACCCUUGCUCACUUAUCACUGUGCUCGGGCCACACAGCGCGCCACUUACGGGUGACGCCCUAGCUUUAGCGCAAUUUCGUUUUGGAUUCAUUUUCAUAAGGAUUCGACGUAAUUGAGGAGUGCUGGCUGUCGACUACCUGACGCCCUCCCCCUCCUCCUUUACCCGGGCUUGGGACCGGCAAUGUAAGAUAAACUUACACAGGUAGAGUUAUUUUUUUUUUUUUUAAAUUAACAUUUAAAAAAAUUUCAACGGACUAUUAUACACAAAUUAGAACCAGAUUAUUGCCAUCCGUAUUUGAUCUUCAGUUUUUGUAAUCUCGUUAGUAAAUAUAAAAUACCAAUUGAAAAUUUCCACAGUUGACUUACAAAUAACAUCUCACUUGAGUUUCCUUGCUACCAAAUAUCACAGUUGUUUGCCUUAUAGGGCAUAGUUUCCAUUAGUUAUAACCAGAUUGGAUUAUACAAAAAUAACUACUUGCUAACCCUGUUUUGUAGAGAUAUAAUGGACAUAGGGAUGGAAACACAAGCAGCUAAAAAGAUGAGAACUAAUUUAGAGGCUUUGAAGUAGUUUGAGAGUUUCGUCGAUAUGCUUCUCUGGUUGGAAUUGGUUGUUGUAGAUGAGUUGAACCACCCCAUUCUUGUCCAGAACAUAUGUCUGUCUCCCGGGCAAUGUCCCAAACAGAUCCGACGGCACUCCCCAUUCUUUCCUCACCUUGUUGCCCUCAUCGCUUAGUAAUGUGAAUGGAAGUUUGUACUUCUUUGCAAAAGCCUACAAACAUUUUCAAUUGUAAUCGACUUCGAGCAUUGAUUUGUAAUGCUUAUGCAUACAAAACUAACACGCACAAAUUAUAAUUGUUGGCUCACGUCUUAGUAGCUUACAUUUUCAAUUAAUUCGAAAAACCAGCAAAUUUAUCCUUACAUCUGUUGAAGAAUCAUUGUGCAUAAUCACCAAAAAACUCUUUUGAAAGCAACAUAUACUAAGCCUUAAUGUGAUGACACCACGUGAUAUAAACACACAAAACUUUCACAUUACCUUGUGUGAUGAGAUGUGAUGACACUACAUGAUAUAAACACACACAACUUUCACAUUACCUUGUGUGAUGAGGGGUCAUCACCGCUAAUCCCGACAACCUGGGCACCGGCCUUUUUAAACUUCUCAUAAGAAUCUCUGAAAGCACAAGCCUAGAGGAGUAUCAAAUUGUCAGUGUCUGCACUAACUAAAGGCACAAUCUAUCUGGCAUUAUCAGCUCCAAUACAUAUUUCAUAUCAUAACAAUCGAAAAUUUACCAGACAGAUAGCAGAAGUCAUUGGCCAAAACUAAUCCAGGAUAAGCAUAUUAAGCAUAAACAAACUUCAAAAUAAGUGGAAUUAGAACAUGCUAAACAAUGUGGUUAAUUCGAACCUGUUUAGUGCAGCCAGGGGUCUCAUCAGCAGGGUAGAAAUAUAGAACCACAGGCUUUCCCUUGAACUUGGAGAGGCUCACUGUCUUUCCAUCCUGAUCUUUCAAUGUGAAGGCUGGAGGAACCUUACCCUUGUCCACCUGUCCACAAACCAACCAACCAUAACCAAUUAAUAAAAAAAAAUGCAGCCGUCGUAAGGGACUCGUAGCUCAAAUGAUUAAAAGCCUUUAUCCAUGCACCCAUUAAUACGAAACACAACAUAUAUAAGCAAAAUGUACCUUAGCAGAAAUGAACAUCUUGCCAGAGGAAGAUGAAGGGAUUGGCAGAGUGGAAGAAGUGGAGAACUUGAGGCCAUAGAACGGGGAAUGUGAAGAGCUGGAGACAAUUGGGAGGGUUUGAGAAGAUGGGUAGCGUUUGGGAGUUAGGGUGCGAAGUACAGAGGGGAAGGCUGGGUGCUUGGGAACAGAGAGGGAGGCCAUUGGAUUGGAUUGCACUAAAUUAAACAGAGAGAAAUAUGAAGUGUCCUCCUUAGUUUCUCUGUUUCUCUGGUGGGUUUUUUCACAAUUGGUGGAGGAAGAUAAGGGAGGGAGAGUGUUGGGUG
RNAcentral lists this long non-coding RNA (70700 nucleotides) under Malus domestica (apple). RNAcentral's name for it is "long non-coding RNA (MDOM_LNC014784)". The record is from RNAcentral. Lineage: Eukaryota; Viridiplantae; Streptophyta; Magnoliopsida; Rosales; Rosaceae.